UGGGCCUUUCUUCCUUAUUUCCUGAUAACCCCCUGCAGAAAUAGACAAACACCAAAACUCGUGGAAUUCUGUCAGAUAAAACCCUAAGUCUCGAUGUUGAUUUCAUUUGGAUCCUUUUCUUUGUUUAUUUGAUAGUUAAAUUUGAUACUUAAGGACCGUCAACAAACUCCCCCAAGCUUACCUCUUGCUCGUCCCUGAGCAAGGAUAGACUCAGCUAUGGAUCAUAAGUUGUUGCAAUAUCUUUAAAAAUUGAUGGUACACAUGCUUUUAAAUGAGGUCUCAUCUCUGAGUUAGAGUAAACUGUCAAGACUUAAAACUUACUUACUUUACCUUUCACCAUGGGACUUGUAACCGUCACUUCUGUCUUGAGUGGUUAAAAGAUAGAACAGUCCAGUCAAGUGCCAUGUCGCUUAUUCUUGAUCAGCUAUAGCUCUGGAGUUUUUUGUAGAUUUCCAAAUAAAAUUCAGAGAUUUCUUGUAUGACUCUCUAAAUCUCUCUUUUGUGGUAUUUCUGGAUCCUUACCAAGGCAGUGAUGGUAUAUGCCUUCUCUCAAGAUAUGUGGUAUUUGUGGUAUAAGGCAUAGUGACAUUGCCUUCUCUCUCACCCUACUCUAAUAAGGCUUUAAUAUCUGGAGCUCAUAGGUGGGAGACAUCUAAUACAUACUUACAAGACAUUUAUUGCAUAGUCAAACCAUGGAUCCAGAAAACAAGUCAAUAAGUCAAAUCAAGAUGUGCAUGUGUGGCGAAUGAAUGGUGUAUAGUGAUGAUGGUGAUAACAAUGGUGAAAGUCUAAUUCUACUUUUGCUCUUAUGAGGGGAUACAUACCUUCCUUGUUUUUUGAAACUUUAUGAGGAGAAUGAGAUGCUCUUCUUUUUCUUUCCUCUCAGGUGGGUAUCUUGUACCCCUAAUUCUACUGUCGGACACUUGUCAAUUUUUACCUCUCGUCUCACUUUUUCUUUCUUUCGAGGUUCCGGGCACUUGCCCCUUUUUAUUUCCUCGUUUAUUAUUAUUAUUUUUUCUCUUUUCUUCUCUUUUCUUCUUUUUUUCAGAGCACUCAUCUCCUGAAAUAAUGUGGCAAGUGGUAGUAACCAAAAUAACUGGAACAUUUAUUUCACAGGGAAUAACAGGGAUAGGAAAAUGUUUUUGGCUAUUCUCUCCCGGAUUAGGAGUAGAAUGAUUUUGGGUGAAACUGGAGAUGGAAAUGGAUGGAUAUAUGUGGAUGGUACUUCCGGAGUAGAAGUAGCAUAUAUGAGUGAAUGUGCAAGUGAAUCUUGAUUUAACCACAUGACAAGCUCCUAAGGGUCUACACAGCUUGACCACACUCAAUGCUCAUAAGCAGUAAAUAAAUGUGUGGCUCAAAGUCUAGCAAGCAUGUAUAUAUGGCUGUGGUAGGAAUUUAAACUUUCAUCAUACAGGAACUCAUCAUGCAAUAUUUUAAAGAUUUUUUAAAGAUAAAAUUCUCCAGAAUUCUAGCAUCUCUAGGAAUAGAUAAACAGCAGCUCAACCUUCCCAUAUCAUAUCCGUUAACAACUUAGAUUUCAGAUCAAGUUUUCAUCCCUCAAGUUUAGAUCUAGAGCAAGCUUUAAAUUAUAACAGUUAUGUCUAAACUUGAGAGAGAACUUCAAAUUUGCAAAUUAGGCAGAGCAACUAUUCAUCAUAUCCAUGCUAGAGUUUUAUUAUUAAGAUUCAUAGCAAACUUUAUUUAUUUAUUUAGCAAACUAAGAAAAGAUGUAUAUAUAUAUAAGCAUAAAAUCUUUAUUUGGUUUUUCAUAGUUUAUGUAUUUUAAUAUUCUAAUAUAAUAUAAGUAUAAAGAUAUGUAGAAAUACUUAGCGAGAUAAAUAGGGGUGCUCUCCCCCAAGCUGAAUUUUGACGUAAUUUCUCUUGAUGUAGCUAGCAGGUGGCAGAGGUGUAUUUGAAAGUCAGCAGCAUUCUGACAGCGAUUAGAAUGUCCUCCGUCUGCUAGUCUUCUUGACUCUUAAAUUCGGUGGAGCUCAAAUAGACAACAAAGCUUGUGGAACUAAUUAAGUGUUAGCAUAAAUAUCUAGCCUUCAUCACGUUGAGCUUCCUCAAUAAAUAUUACUCCCUAUUUUUAUAUUUUUAUUUUAUAAAGUAGAAAAGAAAUAUUUAUUUUAUUUUUAUGCCACCACAGUGAAGGUACUUAUGGGUUUUAUGCCACUUGUAUACUCACAUGGGGCUUAGUAUUUUUUAACAUUUUUAUUUUCUUUUCAAGAUAGCAUGAUUAACUAAAAAUCUAUUUAAGGAAAGUAAAUAAUUAAAGGGAAAAGGGAAUGCAGAAAGGAUAAAUAUGGAUAACUACCAAUCUUACCUUUCAGCGAGGGUUCAAUGUUUUAAGUCUUCUUGACAAGACUUCUCACCGUGUUCAUUCUUUAGGUGCGUCAUUUGAUUCAGGUGCGGACCUUGACGUCUGCACCUUUUAAUACGGUGUCACCCAUGUUCUUCGUUUGCCCAGCAGUUCGAAGUGAGGUGUUAGCAGUAUCUUGCUCAGUGUGUUUGUGCUCGUAGUGUACCUGCUCAUAGAGACAAGGCAGAGAUCAAGUGCAUGGGCCCUGUUGGUGGAAAACACCAACAGAACCAAAAGUGUAUUUGUUCUUCUCUAACCUUAUGCAUAGUGAGCAAGACAAAGUUGAUGGAUGAUAAGUUCAUGAGUGUAGCACUUAUAACAUUUGUCAGAUCAGAUCGCUCAACCUUAUGGAAAGAUAAUCUAUUUAUGUAUAUGUCUUUUUCUUUACAUCUCUCAAUGAUUGAAUGUGUAACAUUUUAGCUCAUAUGAUUAGGAGUGUGGGAUCAUGGAGGUAGUACUAAGAACAAGGAUUAAAGGACUAAACAUGUUGAAUCAGUUGGGUUGGUUAAUCUAGAGUUGUAAAUCAUACACGUUUGUCUCUUUUAUUUAUAUGAACGCCAGAACCAAGGAGAAGCUUAUAAAAGUGAUAGUCAAGUACCUUAGGAUGUUACCUUGCUUGAAAAGUGAUGGUACAGUAUCACCUUGUGGAAGCUUUCCUUUCUUAGCGGUUGUGCAUCGUGUUUGUGGCACCCUCCAUGGAUCAUCUCUCUAUGAUGAAUGAGCUAUGUCCUUCUUGUGCUAAUUGUUGAACUUCAUGUGUCACUUUCUUCGUCUCUGAUGUGAGUUUAUCUUAGGACUUCCCAAAUCGAUAUCGAAAGUUUUUCUGCAGGGGUUAGUCCGACAAAAUAUACCAAUAUCUACUCAAGCAGUUUUUUUAGUUCAAUAACCAAACUAGACUCCAUGUCUAAUCAGAUUAAGGAAGGCUAUUCAACCUAAGCACCAUGCUUAAUUUAAAUGCCAAUGGAAGUAUGGCGAGUACUUCCAAACCAACACUUGCUAGUAAAUAGACAAAGGUAGCAUGACAGCAUUUAUGGAGAUUUACUCAAGUAGAGAUGAAGUAGUGUGAUUAGUAUUUAACAAAUUGAGCAUGUCUCAAAGGUAGGGACAACCAGCAUAGCAACAUGGCAAAGGAUGUUUUUAUGUAAAGUACUCCCCCAAGCUUGAAUUUUGCAAAAUUCAAGUUUGGAUGAAUUUAAUUCAAUGUUUUAUGAUGAUUGGUUGGACAUACCUUGUGCUUGUCAUUCAUCCGAUCUUCUUGCUCCAAUCUUAGAAAGGUUAGUGACAAGAAUACCCGAAGGAAUAUUUUUUUACAACUAUCCUUAUAUGCUCAAUACACAAGGUAAUGUUGCAAAUAAUUAAAAGCUUAUGUUACGAUCUGAUCAAUGCUUAUUUUAAGACACUAAGCUUGUCCUUGGGAAACCAUCAGUUUAUGUUGGCGAAGUGGUUUCCCCUCCGACGCCAACCUAUAUCUAGAUCAACUCAACGAGAUCUGCAAUAUUUAUUAUAGACAUAUGCAUCGACAACCGCCCUUUUAAAGUUUUUAUAAAUAGAAAGGAAGAGGGGGUUGGAGAUCUCAAGUGUGGUGAUGUCGGAGAGACCAAUAGAUUGGGAAGAUGUUGCAUAUGAGCAUGGAGUAAACGAAGUGGCUAUGAAAUAAAUUCCAUGCUCAUUAAUGUUAUCUUCGUCUCCAAUCUGAAUGUUCGGAGUUUCUCCUGGAUUGGUCUCACCUAUGUCCUAUUCUGUAGUUGGAUGAAUCUCAUCUUCAAAGGGAGUCAAGAACUCACCAUUUGAAAUUGAGCCAAAGUCAGAACCCAUUAAGGCUUCUUCCUUAUCCAUCCAUUUUACACAUUCUAGCCAUUUAGAACUUGUGAUCAAAAUAGGGGAGGUGUUAGAAUUUUCUAUAUGGCUUAGCUCUCCUUCUAUGGCAUUACUUGACAUGCCAUCCUUAUGGUCUUCAUGACUCCUAUGGUUUGGUCGUCUUGGUGAAUUGCUAGGAUCAUCAUGAGACUGAAAAGAAGAGGGAUAAGAGGGAUCUCUAAGGUCAAGGAUGGAUUUAGAACUUGUGAACAUGGAAGGGGAGUAGAUAGAAUUGUCUAUAUGGCUUUGCUCUCCUUCACUUGAUAUGUCAUCCCCGACUUCUUCAUGAUAGGAACCAGGACAUUCUCUAAGAGAAACAUUAUUGCAAUGAUUUGAAUUAUCCCUGCUUGAAGGUCUCUUAUAGAACCAGAAGUCUAAAUCAUCAGCAUCUAAAAGAUUUAAGGUCGGAAUUCCUUCCUCCCUUGGAGAAUUUUGGGGUAUUGAUGGUUUAGGAUCGAUAGCUAAAGUUUGGGAUUGAAAUGGUUGUGAUCUGGCUAUCGAAACUUCUUCUUCUUGUCUAGGAACUGGUUCUUUCUUUUUCUCAGGGAUAUAAAAGCUAGGAGACUUUCCGCUCAUUAAAUCAAUCAAAUUCCAAGCUUCACUAGCAGAUAGGUGGUGGAAAGAUCCUCCAGAGGCCGCAUGAAGGGUUUGCUUAUUUUUCCUACUAAGGCCCUCAAAAAAGUGAAUUAGAAGAACUUCUUCUGGAAUAGAAAGUUUUGGGCCAGUGAGAGUAAGGUUAAUAAAGCGGUCCCAUGAUUUGCCAAGAGAUUCUUCUUCCAGUUGUCUAAAAGAAAGAAUCUCACGCCGAAGUUCCACCACUUUGGAGAUUGGAAAAUAUUUAGAAAGAAAAAUACUAUAUAACUCCUUCCAAUCUCCAUGAACACUCCCUACUUUGAGUUUAUACCAAUGUCUAGCUUUUCCCGUUAAAGAGAACGGAAAGAGCUUCCAUUUGAGGGUCUCAUCGGACAUUCCUUCUAUGCGAAGGAGGUCACAGACUCGAUAAAACUCUCUUAAGUGUGUGUAUGGGUUUUCCUCACCUUCUCCUGAGAAAGGUUGUUUUUGAAUAAAUUCUAUGUAUUCGGGGUCUAUCUCAAAACUAGAUGCUAUGAUAGGCUUUGAAGAUUUUGGUGGUUCGAGAUGUGUGUUGACGGUCCUUAAGUAUCAAAUUUAAUUAUCAAAUAAAUAAAGAAAAGGAUCCAAAUGAAAUCAAGAUCUAGACUUAGGGUUUUAUCUGACAGAAUUCCACGAGUUUUGGUGUUUGUCUAUUUCUGCAGGGGGUUAUCAGGAAAUAUGGAAGAAAGACCCACAUGUCAGGAUUACGUAAAGAUAUUAACGUGCUGCGCAAUUAUCUUACAUCUAGAAGACUCCAGAAGCCACGAGACCGAAGCGGAGGCGAAACGGGGCCAGAGACAGGGCGCCCGCCCUGUCCUACUGGGCGCCCGCCCCCUGUCCAAGUCCAAUCAGGACUCUGCUUUGCGGGAAGUCUCCACCGACCUAAAGGAUGAAUCUAAACCAUACAAUCUAUGUCGGUUUGAUCCAAGGGCCCAUAUUCACUUGAAGGGACUAUAAAACCAGACCCCCUGGCCCCUGGAGGAGGGAGCCUCUCAACCCUAAUUCAUUGUUCCAUCAAGGGAGAAGAAGCCUCUGAUCAAGAUUAGAGCCACCACAUCAAUUAGAUAUCUAGAUUAGCAUAGCUACAUAGGAUCAGAACUAGAAGGAGUCAAUCUUCGAUUGGUUUCCGGAUCUGUCAAGAGGAUUCUUGGUAAUUCUCUAAUUGUGUUUCUAAUUACUUUCUAAUUAUCUUUGUUCUUCAAUAUUAUGAAUAUGACUUUGUUCUACUUCAAUAUAUUGCUUAUGACUUUGCUCUAUUUGCUCAUAUUCAAGAUUAUAUUGUUCUUAGUUUAUCAUAGUUAUGUACUUGGCUUAGUUAGAUACGAUCUAUAUACAUGCUUAGGAUCGUAUAGCGUUUAUCCAUCGGAUCCAUGGGUAAAUGAUAGAUAUUGUGUAGGCGUGGUGCUUAUACCGUAUUUAUCUGCGAUUGUACCCAAUAUGCCAGAUCGUGGGGUAGUUCGUGAUAGUGACAGCUUUAUUGAUUCUUAUAUAGUCCCCCUCUCGUGUAUUGGGCUGGCAGAGCAACAUUAUUACAGUGGAGUGAUUGUUAUGUUUCUCAUAUUCCUUGCUAAUAUCACUAUGCAUGGGCGUAGUCUUGUCUCACAAUGAUUGCUAAGUAUGCUUGCACUAACUAUGAUAUGCUAGACUAUAUAGUUAAGAAUAACUUAGGGAGUAUUCUUGUAGUUCGUUCUAAUACCAUGCUAAUGACUUUCUAGAGUAUCUAAUUGAGGUGCUUAUCAUAUUUAUUAUGUGGCUAGAUCAGAUUAGUUAUCCUUGUCACUAUUAUUAUUUCAUAUAUCUUUUAUGUGACAUUUAUCCCUGUAUGAUGAGUUAUAGAUAAUGUUCUCAAUUAUACAUGCAAUGAUAGAUGCUCAAUCUCAUAUUCUAUUCUGUAAGCAAUAGUGAUGAUUGCUAAUCCCUUCCAGUGGUAAAAAUAUAAAUAACGAUAUCUGGAAUACUUCCCGGUUAAAAUGCUACAUCGGUAUUAAUCUGUGCGCUUGCAGAUCCCAUUCAUUAUUUAUUUAGAAGAGCAAUUGCAUAUUUCAAUACCGCGUCUCUCAUAUCAUGCUGGGGAUGACAACUUGGCUUAAGUGGUGUGAGGGAUAGGUUUGGCAUUUUUGGCACCGUUGCUAGAUUUAGAACUUAGUCUACUUUUAGUAAUGAUGUUAAGAAUACCCAACAAGCAUUUUUGGCGCCGUUGCCGGGGAAGGUUGAUUACUAAUCAGGAAUGGAAUAAAAGAUUUUGAGUUAUCAUUCGCAUCACUAAUAUGAUUGAGCUUAUCUAUUCUCUCAUACAGUUUUACCCUGAUAUUUUUCUAUUUUAUCUUAUGCAGGGGAAUGUAUGAAUAGAAGACAUCUUCCAGGGAAUUUUGUUGACGAUCCUGAAGCAUUAUUCAAGAAGACGAGGGCCAAGCUCAAGAAGAGAUCAUCAACACUUCAUGAAGAAGCUUCAUCCAAUCAAGAAGAUCACCGGAACUUGUCUUCAGAGUUCGAAGCCAUGGCGAACAAAUCAAUCCACGAGUUCUCAGCUCCCACUACGGACAACAUCCGCACUGGACCUGCUGCAGAGAUCGAUGGCAACUUUGAGCUCAAGCCUGGACUUAUCAACAUGGUGCAAUCCAACCAGUUCUGUGGGAAGGCACACGAAGAUGCUAGUGCUCAUUUACAACACUUCCUGGAGAUUUGCAACACAUUCACCAUAGCAGGAGUUUCCAAAGACGCUAUACUACUUCGCCUCUUCCCAUUCUCACUGUUAGGAAGAGCGAAGCAGUGGUUCUACGCUACAAAGGAGAAGAAUACUACGUGGGCACUCUGCUCAACAAACUUCCUGGCAAAAUUCUUUCCCAUGGGCAAGACCAAUGCUCUCCGUGGGAAGAUUACAAGUUUUCAGCAACAAAAUGAUGAAUCUGUUCCAGAAGCAUGGGAGCGCUUUCAAGACUACAUCCUAGAAUGUCCCCAUCAUGGAAUGGAGAGUUGGCUAUUGAUGCAGACGUUUUAUCAUGGGCUCAGCAACAGUGCCCGAGAGACCAUGGAUGCUGCAGCUGGAGGAGCAUUCUUAUCACUUACUAUACCACAAGCCACAGCUCUUGUGGAGAAGAUGGCGUCCAACCGAAGCUGGAAUGAAGAGAGGACCCAGACACGCAAGAGAGGUGGAGGUAUGCAUCAGCUGAAGGAGGUAGACAUGCUGUCUGCAAAGCUAGACCUGCUCAUGAAGAAGCUCGAUGAUAGAGCUGGAGACAAGAAAGAAGUUAUGCACAUCUACGACUCUCACAUGACUUGUGAGGAGUGUGGAGACACUGGACACUCAGGCAACCACUGCCCUGAGAUACUUGAGGAUGUGAACUACAUCAACAACAACAACAACAACUACUACAACCGUCCUCAACAAAAUCAAGGUUGGAAUCAACAGAGGCCUAACUACUCAGGUAAUUAUCAAGGUAACAAUUCUUACAACAAUAAUAAUAAUUUUCCACCUUUGAGAGAGUUAGUGUCUAAUCAAGGAAAGCUAAUGGAUAAUCUAUCUAAGAAAUUGGCAUCUAAUGAUAAAAUACUAGAAAAUAUAAAUAAUAGAAUGGAUAAUUUUUCUACUGCCAUCAAGAAUCAAAUUAGCUUUAAUAAAAUGAUUGAAUCUCAGUUAAAUCAAAUAGCUGCUGCUGUUCCUACUACUAACCCCGGUAUACCAUCACAACCGGAAGGAUUAGAAUCUGCAAAUCUUGUAGACACGUUUGAUGUAGGUAAUUGGAGUAACCCCGUCACUGAAUUUUCUACUGACCGUCUGCCGGUCAAGAGAGGCGAUCCAGGACGCCCCGUCAUCCCGAUCUCCAUCGGCAUGGUGGACUUCCCAGAAGCACUCUGUGACUUUGGCUCUAGCGUCAACAUUAUACCCAGGGUACUCUAUGAAAAAUUCUUUACAUAUCCUUUAUUAGAGACAACCAUGUGUUUGCAGUUUGCAGAUCAGACGAUAACUUUUCCAAAAGGAAUAGUGAGGAACCUUUGUGUCCGAGUUGGUACCUUGUAUGCACCAGCAGACUUCGUAGUGGAAGAGACCGGAAAUGAUGAGAGAGCACCUAUCAUCUUAGGGAGGCCAUUCUUGAACACCACGGGAGCUAUCAUCUACGCCAGUGCUGCCAAGAUCAGUUUCUAUGUCAAAGGGAAGAAGGAGACAUUUUUCUUCAAGAACAAGACUACACAAAUUCCAAAUCAAUCCAGACGUGAAUCAAGGAAGAGGACCAACAGGAGGAACAGGAACAAGCAAGUGUGGACCGAGUCAGCUAAGAUGGUCACUGUAGUCCAUGGAGGCCAAGAUCACCAACUGAAGUCACCGUUUUUGACCAAGAAGGACGACCCAGGAAUGCCAAGCAUUUACUGCUCCAUAAAUGGAUACAACUUCUACAAGACGAUUUGCGACACCGGAUCAGGCGUCAACAUAAUGGCCGCAGUCACCUAUCGGCUCUUGUUCGGGACCAUGCCAUUAAGACCAACAUACAUUCAGCUCCAGAUGGCAGAUCAGACAUUUCGAGAAGUUCAAGGAAUAGUAUCUGAUGUCCCAGUCAAAAUAGACGAUCACUUUGUCUACACAGACUUUCAAGUUGUUGACAUGGGAGAAGACGAGUAUGAUCCACCCAUCAUCCUUGGAAGGCCAUUCCUCAGCACCGUUAAAGCAAUUAUCUACAUUGGAACCAGAGAAGUCCAUAUGCACUUCCCCUCAGAGAAGGUACGCCGUUAUUUUACUGACCCUAACUAUAUCGUUGAAGAAUCUAAGCAGGUCAGAAAGAGACGCAACCGCAACCAGAGGAGGCAGAUCAUCAAGGACGGAUGGGCAGACUAUGAAGGAGAAGUUGUAAGGUCAGAAGACGUAGAGUUUAAACAAAAUUAUCCAGAGGAGAUUGAAGCACCGAGUCAGGUAUGGAAAAUGAAGUUAACUAUACAAGAAGAGGAGGCGCUGCCGGAAGUACCGACUACGCCACUCAACGAACCUCAGGACGAUUAAGAAAUUGGAGAGUCCCGUUCGGAGGACUUAAAAACACCGAACACCUUACCAAGAGGUAAACUUGGUAGUUACCCUUUCCUUCUCAAUUAUUUCAAAUAGGUUAUUUAGUUAAACAUGUUCAUGCUAUCCUAAAAAGAAAAUAAAAAUAUGAAAAACAGUAAGCCCCAUGUGAGUAUACGAGUGGCAUAAAACCCAUACGUACAUUCACUGUGGUGGCAUAAAAAUAAAAUAAAUAUUUUUCUGCUUUAUAAAAUAAAAAAUAUAAAAACAGGGAGUAAUAAUUAUUAAGGAGUCUCAAGAUGAUGAAGGCUAUAUAUUUAAGCUAACACUUAAUUAGUUCCACAAGCUUUGUUGUCUAUUUGAGCUCCACAGAAUUCAAGAAGACUAGCAGACGGAGGACAUUCUAAUCGCUGUCAGAAUGCUGCUGACUUUCAACUACACCUCUGCCACCUGCUAGCUACAUCAAGAGAAAUUACGUCAAAAUUCAGCUUGGGGGAGAGCACCCCCAUUUAUUCCGAUAAGUAUUUUUAUCUAUUUUUAUACUUAUAUUAUUUUAGAAUAUUAAAAUACAUAACUAUGGGAAAACCAAAUAAAGAUUUUAUGCUUAUAUAUAUGUCUUUUGCUUAGUGUGUUUAAUAAAUAAAUAAAGUGGCUAUGCUAAUCUGUAUCUAAAUAAAACUUAAGCAUGGAUAUGAUGAAAAGUUGCUCUGCCUAAUUUGCACAUUUUAAGUUCUCUCUCAAGUUUAGACAUAACAGUUAUAAUUUAAGGCUUGCUCUAGACCUAAACUUGUGGGAUGAAAACUUGAUCUGAAGUCUAAGUUGUUAACGGAUACGAUAUGGGAAGGUUGAGCUGCUAUUUAUCUGUUCCUAGAGAUGCUAGAAUUCUGGAGAAUUUUAUCUUUGAAAAUCUUUAAAAUAUUGCAUGAUGAGUUCCUGUAUGAUGAGAGCUUAAAAUUCCUACCACAGCCAUAUAUACAUGCUUGCUAGACUUUGAGCCACACAUUUAUUAUUUACUGCUUAUGAGCAUUGAGUGUGGUCAAGCUGUGUAGACCCUUAAGAGCUUGUCAUGUGGUUAAAUCAAGAUUUCACUUACACGUUCACUCAUUUAUGCUACUUCUACUCCGGAAGUACCAUCCACAUAUAUCCACCCAUUCCAUCUCCAGAACCACCUAAAAAUAUUCUACUCCUAAUCCGGGAGAGAAUAACCAAAAAUAUUUUCUGUUUUCCCUUGUGAAAUAAAUGCUCAAGUUAUCUUGUUACUACCACUUGCUAUAUUAUCUCAAGAGAUGAGUGCUCUAAAAAAAAAGAGAAAAUAAUACGAGGAAAUAAAAAGGAGCAAGUGCUCGGAACCUCGAAAGAAAAGAAAAAGUGAGACGAGAGGUAAAAAUGGACAAGUGUCCGACAGUAGAAUUAGGGGUGCAAGAUACCCACCUGAGAGAAAAGAAAAAGAAGAGCAUCUCAUUCUCCUCAUAAAGUUUCAAAAGCAAGGAAGGUAUGUAUCCCCUCAAAAGAGCAAAGUAGAAUUAGACUUCCACCACCAUUGUUUUCACCAUUGUUAUCACCAUCAUCACCAUAUACCAUUCAUUCGCCACACAUGCACAGCUUGAUUAAACUCAUUGACUUGUUACUUUGGAUCCAUGGUUUGACUAUGCAAUAAAUGUCUUGUAAGUAUGUAUAUUUUAUCUCCCACCUAUGAGCUCCAGAUAUUAAAGCCUUAUUAGAGUAGGAUGAGAGAGAAGGCAAUGUCACUAUGCCUCAUACCACAAAUACCACAUAUCUUGAGAGAAGGCAUAUACCAUCAAUGCCUUGGUAAGGAUCCAAAAAUACCACAAAAGAGAGACCUGAGAGAAUCAUACAAGGAAUCUCUGAGUUUUAUUUGAAAAUCUGCAAAAAACCCCAGAGCUAUAGCUGAUCAAGAAUAAGAGACAUGGCACUUGGCUAGACUGUUCUAUCUUUUAACCACUCAAGACAGAAGUGACAGUUACAAGUCCCAUGGUGAAGGUAAAGUAAGUAAGUUUUAAGUCUUGACAGUUGACUCUAACUCAGAGAUGAGAUCUUAUUUAAAAAGCAUGUGUACCGUCAAAUUUUUAAAAUAUUGCAGCAACUUCUGAUCCAUAGCUGAGUCUAUCCUUGCUCAGGGACGAGCAAGAGGUAAGCUUGGGGGAGUUUGUUGACGGUCCUUAAGUAUCAAAUUUAAUUAUCAAAUAAAUAAAGAAAAGGAUCCAAAUGAAAUCAAGAUCUAGACUUAGGGUUUUAUCUGACAGAAUUCCACGAGUUUUGGUGUUUGUCUAUUUCUGCAGGGGGUUAUCAGGAAAUAUGGAAGAAAGACCCACAUGUCAGGAUUACGUAAAGAUAUUAACGUGCUGCGCAAUUAUCUUACAUCUAGAAGACUCCAGAAGCCACGAGACCGAAGCGGAGGCGAAACGGGGCCAGAGACAGGGCGCCCGCCCUGUCCUACUGGGCGCCCGCCCCCUGUCCAAGUCCAAUCAGGACUCUGCUUUGCGGGAAGUCUCCACCGACCUAAAGGAUGAAUCUAAACCAUACAAUCUAUGUCGGUUUGAUCCAAGGGCCCAUAUUCACUUGAAGGGACUAUAAAACCAGACCCCCUGGCCCCUGGAGGAGGGAGCCUCUCAACCCUAAUUCAUUGUUCCAUCAAGGGAGAAGAAGCCUCUGAUCAAGAUUAGAGCCACCACAUCAAUUAGAUAUCUAGAUUAGCAUAGCUACAUAGGAUUAGAACUAGAAGGAGUCAAUCUUUGAUUGGUUUCCGGAUCUGUCAAGAGGAUUCUUGGUAAUUCUCUAAUUGUGUUUCUAAUUACUUUCUAAUUAUCUUUGUUCUUCAAUAUUAUGAAUAUGACUUUGUUCUACUUCAAUAUAUUGCUUAUGACUUUGCUCUAUUUGCUCAUAUUCAAGAUUAUAUUGUUCUUAGUUUAUCAUAGUUAUGUACUUGGCUUAGUUAGAUACGAUCUAUAUACAUGCUUAGGAUCGUAUAGCGUUUAUCCAUCGGAUCCAUGGGUAAAUGAUAGAUAUUGUGUAGGCGUGGUGCUUAUACCGUAUUUAUCUGCGAUUGUACCCAAUAUGCCAGAUCGUGGGGUAGUUCGUGAUAGUGACAGCUUCAUUGAUUCUUAUAUAGUCCCCCUCUCGUGUAUUGGGCUGGCAGAGCAACAUUAUUACAGGGGAGUGAUUGCUAUGUUUCUCAUAUUCCUUGCUAAUAUCACUAUGCAUGGGCGUAGUCUUGUCUCACAAUGAUUGCUAAGUAUGCUUGCACUAACUAUGAUAUGCUAGACUAUAUAGUUAAGAAUAACUUAGGGAGUAUUCUUGUAGUUCGUUCUAAUACCAUGCUAAUGAUUUUCUAGAGUAUCUAAUUGAGGUGCUUAUCAUAUUUAUUAUGUGGCUAGAUCAGAUUAGUUAUCCUUGUCACUAUUAUUAUUUCAUAUAUCUUUUAUGUGACAUUUAUCCCUGUAUGAUGAGUUAGAUAUAAUGUUCUCAAUUAUACAUGCAAUGAUAGAUGCUCAAUCUCAUAUUCUAUUCUGUAAUCAAUAGUGAUGAUUGCUAAUCCCUUCCCAGUGGUAAAAAUAUAAAUAACGAUACCUGGAAUACUUCCCGGUUAAAAUGCUACAUCGGUAUUAAUCUGUGCGCUUGCAGAUCCCAUUCAUUAUUUAUUUAGAAGAGCAAUUGCAUAUUUCAAUACCGCGUCUCUCAUAUCAUGCUGGGGAUGACAACUUGGCUUAAGUGGUGUGAGGGAUAGGUUUGGCAUUUUUGGCACCGUUGCUAGAUUUAGAACUUAGUCUACUUUUAGUAAUGAUGUUAAGAAUACCCAACAAUGUGUGCCCAUAGGUCUAUGAAAUUCAUAGAUAGACAUGUUUGAAUUCAUGAUAGACCAGAGAUCAAGGAUUAGAUAAAAAGAAAGAUUAGCAGAGAUGAGGCAAAGGAUAAAAGGAAAAUAUUUUUUUUAUUAUAUUUUUUUUAGAAAAUGAUUAAGCAAGUUCGUAGUCAACUCAGCAACCGUUUCCCCGGCAACGGCGCCAAAAAUGCUUGUUGACACUUGCUAACACCACUUGAAUACUAGGUUGUCAUCCCCAGCAUGGCACUAGAGUGUACUAUGGUAUUUAUACGCACACAGAUAAUCCGCAAGCGCACGGAUACCGUUGAAGCUUUUACCCGGUUAAAGGUUUUAUCGUAUCCACAGGGAAACGGGAGAACCAACUACGCUCUAACUUAACCAAGAUAGAUAGAUAGGUGUAAAUAGGAAAGAUGAUAGAAUCGAAUAAGAACAAUAUUAAAGGUAAGAUAACAGUGAGUGAUAAUAUGGGAAUAGAGAAUAGAGCAAUUCUAGUAUAUGGGCGAUGGUAGCAGAAUAGAGAGGAUAACUAUGGUUUCUCUACUUUAAAGGGGUAUGUCUAUGUCUGGGACGAACCACGUGAUAAGAGUACACCACAAAGGAUGCUUAUCCAUAGGCCGAUAAACCCUACCCGUCCUGCUAACGAGAGGUGGACUACAGGGGACCAACGUAACUGUCACCUACGCGGCCUACCACACGAUCCAGCUAGUCAGGGGAUAUCCACAAGUAAUCUAGGUCUAAGCACCACGCUUACACCUAUACUACAACUCUAGCCUAUAGGGUCCUAUAGAUUAGAAGUACUCAAAAGAGUUGUGAACCAGAACAUACAUGAUUAGUAAUUGCAUAAUGAAUUAGAAGUAGAUUACCAGAGUCAUCCCAUGAGCAAGCUUGAUUAGAGCUUGAUCAUGGCGAAGUACAACCGGAGGAAGAACCGACAGGCCGGCCUCUCCUCUAAUUCUCCUUCGCUCUCCAUCUCGCUACUAUCUAGAUCUACUCUAGUUUAGAGAAGAGAGGAGAGCUCUCAUCUCUAAACCCUAGCUUUUGCUCUGUCUAUGAAUAAUGAAUAAUGAUCAAGGGAGUGCCUCCUCUAGGGGCCAGGGGGUCUGGUUUUAUAGUCCCCUCAAGUGAACCUGGGCCGUCGGAUCAAACCAACAUUGAUUGAACGGUUAUUCUUGAUCCUUUAGGUCGGUGGAGCAUAAUCCGCGAGAUUGAGCGUGAUUGGCCGAAAAAGGUGGGCGGGCACCCUAAGGACUUGGGCGGGCGCCCUGUCCCUGACUCCGUUCGGUCUCCGCUUCCUUCCCUUGGCUUCUGGAGUCUUCUAGAUGUGAGAUAAUUGCGCGGCACGUUGAUAUCUCUAUGUAAUCCCGACGUGUGGGCCUUUCUUCCUUAUUUCUUGAUAACCCCCUGCAGAAAUAGAUAAACACCAAAACUCGUGGAAUUCUGUCAGAUAAAACCCUAAGUCUCGAUGUUGAUUUCAUUUGGAUCCUUUUCUUUGUUUAUUUGAUAGUUAAAUUUGAUACUUAAGGACCGUCAACAGCCGGUACGCUCCUAGUCGAGCCGCUCCUUUUCUUCUCGGAGGCGCCCAAUCUCCUCCUCCAGCUUUACAAAAAUAAUUGCUGGUCAUCAAAACCGACCACGCAGUUAACUACAACUACUCGGAACAUAUGACUUACCUUUCUUCUCCCGAUCCUUGUCAGCUAGUCGCCGAUUCAGAUUGAGCAGGCGCUCUUCCUAAGCUGCCUUCUCGGCCGCCUUCUCCUCAGCCUCCGACUGAAGGCGGUCCACCUCCGCGGUCAGGGUCUUGUUCUCGGCGACUAUGCCCUCAAUUUGGUUGAAGCACCUUUUUCGAUACUUCUCCGUCUUCAUUGCGCCCUGCAAGAAUUAUACGUAUCGUGAAGUAAACAAACAACAAUAUAUGCACAUUCUGGCAGAAUACAAGGCCACUUACCUUGACCUCAUCGACGAGCCGCUUGGCAGCGCGCUCCACCCUUGCCGCUUCCUCGGUCUCGGCGAGCUCUUCGUGACCAAUAAAGUGAUCCCCACGUUGCCGCCACACAUAAACGUGUUGGUGACUAUCAUGGGGGUGCCCCUGGAUCUCCUCCACUUUGUCGUCGGAGGCCGCCUGGGCCUCCUCGCCCUCUGCGCUCCCCCCAGCCGUGGUAAUGGGUAUCAAAGGACCCUUACCCCAACUAGGGGAGCCCUUCGGUGAAGAAGCCUCUGCCGGGGCUGGAGUUGGGGCUCUCCCUUCCUCAGCUGGAGGGGGAGUCGGGACUUUGUCUCCCUCCUCUGCGACGCUGCUCAGGGGAGGCGUCCUCGCGCCCUCUGAUGUGAACCCGCUAGGGUUUUUGGCCUGAUCUUUCGAUGAGAGGCGCUGGAUAACUCGAUUAGUGGAUGGAGAUGACGUUCACGGCCCGACUACAGCCCUCAAGACCGCGCCUUAGCAACCGAUACACCACGUCCAAUAGCCGUCACGAUCUUGUGGAGCGCGACAACCAGCCCCUAGGGCUCCCGUCCUGCAAGCAAUCGAAGAACUAGCAAGAACGAGGAAACGAGCACUGAAUUUGCAAGAUGAAUUGAAGGUUUCAAACUGAAUCUUAAUCAACAAUGGGGUUCCAAAGACAAGGAGACGGGUGGCUGAUCCUGCACGCGCGCCUACAAGCAAGUAGCGAAGGCUAAACUUGAUCUAAACAAAACCCAGUUGUUCAUGGCGGCUCUAGAUGUAAAUAAAUAGAGGGGAGGACGACCAAAGGGGUGCUAGAGUCGUCCUCCAACCCUAGGACGCGUCCCUAAUGGACUCAACUUGAUACAUGGGCCAUUGGUCCAAAAUAGGGUGACGCAGCACCAAAACAGAAAAAGGUGUCGGCACGAAAACAAGGACUGCGCCUGACUCAUAAGCUGCAUAGAUAUGUGGUUGGAUCCAUUGGAAAGUAGACUUCAUGAUUUUUCCAACAAGUAUAGGAACGUCCUAGUUGGAGUCCAUAUGACGCCGUGGUGAUCCAUACAAGUUAGAGUUAUUUUCCAGUCCGAAUCCAACUCCCAAAACGUGUUGGGUUUGGACUCUUUGUUUCCUUGCUUUAGAAGCGACGUGGUAACUUGAUAGAGGAUGUUGUGGAGGCUUGGACCUGAUCUCCAAUCACCUUUGUUAAGUUAUCACUCUUCCCAUAUGCAAUCAGCCCUUGAAGUUGGUGUUGCCUCAAAUUCUGAAUGCAGUUGAACCUUCCCUUGCUGAUCUUGUCCAUUGUUCUUGAGCAACACGAAAGUGCACGUGUCUCCAUUGUCUAAAUAUGAUUGACAAGAGUUUAAAACUGAACUUACUUGAAGGUUGAGUUGACGGGCACGAGCACGAGUAAGAGGACCAGCUAUAGGUUGUGUCGGAGAGGAUGUAGGACCAGCUAUAGGUUGUGUCAGAGAUGUAGGACCAGCUAUAGGUUGUGUCGGAGAGGAUGUAGGAGAGGAUGUAUCGCUGGUGUUGAUGUCCUCAUCAUCCUCCCUUUCUUGCAUUUGAGUCGUCCUCGACUCAAGCUCAUCUUCCUCACCCAAAUAAGGCUUCAAAUCUACAAUGUUAAAUGUGGGACUAACCCCAAAAUCUUUGUCUAGUAGUUCUUGCACUUGUCGCUGAAUUUCCUUUGUUUCCUUCGGGUUUGUCCUGUAUGGUGCACGAUUUGGCAAAACUGCUCCAGGAAUAAGAUCAAUUUGGUGCUCAAUCCCGCGUAGUGGAGGCAGCCCCGCUGGUACCUCACUUGGAAACACAUCAGAAUACUCCUGCAAAACGUUAGCAACAGCAGGGGGCAAAGAACAUUGCAUAUCCUCAAUUGAAAUCAAAGCAUCCUUGCAUAUCAAAGCAUAAGCAACAGAAGUGGAUGCAUUGAACUCAUUAAUAUCUGAUUUGGUAGCUAUCAUACAACGUCCUUUCAGUUUUAUCUCAUCUUUGUUACCAAUUACAGAUUUAUCAUUUUUAUUGCUCUUGCUCUUUGCUUUACUAGCCCUAGCAACAUCAGUUUGCAUAAUAGUUUCAGGGGACAUAGGAUGCAACACAAUUUUGCGAUCAUGGUAUAGAAAAGAAUACUGAUUUGAUCUACCAUGAUGCAUAGAAUCUCUAUCAAAUUGCCAAGGUCUACCUAGCAGAAUGUUACAAGCUUGCAUAGGCACAACAUCACAUUCAAUAAUAUCUUUGUAGGAUCCGAUGGAAAAAUUAAUUCUCACAAGUCUAGUUACCUUUGCCUUACCACUGCUGUUCAGCCAUUGGAUGUAGUAGGGAUGCGGGUGUGGUUUGGUGUUGAGGGCAAGCUUCUGCACCAUAUCGCUGCUUGCCAAGUUGUUGCAGCUACCUCCAUCAAUGAUCAUGCGACAAGAACGCUCUUUGAUGACACACUUUGUUUGGAAUAAAAUGUGUCGCUGAUUUUGCUCCGCCAUCUCCAUUUGUGCACUAAGCACUCGCUGCACGAUCAAGCUCUCAUAGUGGUCCGCUUCACCUGCAUUAAUAUGUUCUUCUAUUUGAUCUUCAUUACCUGCAUGGUCAGUCGCAAGCAGUGCAAGUGUAUCCUCAUCAAAAUCACUAGCAGAUGAGUACUCACCAUCAUCCCUGACAAUCAUAACUCGCUUGUUUGGGCAGUCACGCAUCAUGUGCCCAUAUCCCUUGCACCGAUGACAUUGUAUGUUGCUUGUUCUACCCGUCGAUGCCACGGAUGAAGUACUCGCAGCAGGCUUUUGUAUCAUCUUCGCAACUGAAUUGGUGGGGGCAGCUCGAGUCUUGUCACUAGAUGAUGGAGUAGAAAUACGUGUAGAUGGAGUUGAAGCCAUGUGUUGCUGCCAUGAAUUAGCCUUCCCUGCAGAAAUAUUACUCCUUGCGCUAGCACGUCGUCCCUGCACUUCCCUUUCAGCUUUACAAGCAAGAUGAAACAAACGGGUUACAUUAUUGUAUUUUUUGUAAGCGAGGUUGUCCUGAAUUUCCCGAUUUAACCCACCCAAAAAUCUAGCCAUAGCCGGUUCCUCAUCCUCCUCUAGGUUACAACGCAACAUACCCGUUUGUAAUUCCUGAUAAUAUUCUUCUACACUUUUAGCACCUUGUCUUAACUGCUGCAACUUAUUUAUCAUAUCACGCGCAUAGUAAGAUGGAACAAAUCUAGCUCUCAUGGCCCUUUUCAGCGCAUCCCAAGUUCUAGGUAAGUUAUUAGGAUUUUUCUUUCCAUAUUCUAUCCACCAAACAGAAGCAAAAUCUGUAAACUCACUAGUAGCAGCCCUAACACGUGUAGUCUCAGGAAAUUCAUGACAUGCAAACUUUUGAUCAACAGCAAUCUCCCAAGUGAUGUAAGCAUCAGGGUCAUAUUUACCAUCAAAAGGGGGUAUCUUAAAUUUAAUCUUACUGAAAGCAUCAUUAUUAUUGUGUACCUCGCGUCGGCGGUUGCCACCCAUACCUCUACGGUUGUGACGAAGGCGACGUCGAUCACGAGUGUCUUGAUCAUCAUGUUCAGUAUCACCAGUGUAGUCAUCUUCAUGACUACCGUGCUCUCGAUCUCCCUCCUUUUCUUCUUUAUGCUUCUCUUUAUCUUCGGUGUGGAAAUCAUCAAAUCGCCUUAGGAGAGCAGCAAGGCUUUUGUCCACACUAGCAACGGAUUCCUCCAAACUUGUGAGCUUGUUGUUUGUGGCAAUCUGCGUAGCCUCCAACUGCCCCAGCUUUUCAUUUGUCACCUGCAAGUCGUUAUCAAAUCCCUCUGUGUGCAGCUUCACUUUCCUUUCAAAAUGUUGUAUGAUGCCCUUAGUGCGAGGUGUAUGUGGUGUUUCGUUACCAUCAUCUGCCCCUGGCAUGGUUCAAAGACAAAGACAACAAAAAGGCAAGUGAAGAAAUAAAAGCCCUACAACUACUAGGAUGUAGCUACAGCAAGUCGCUCACACUCAACCUGUAACACAAGUUCUUACCAAUUCUUACCUUGCUUGACAGGAGGGGUCGUUUGCCAACAAGUGUACAGCAAUGGACGAAGUGUAUCGGUGCUGCAGCACAAGACCUGUCAAGCUGUAGAGUAUGUGGAGCUAUAGGUGGGCUGAAACAAGGAACGAACUAGCACCACGUUAGUUAUAAAAGCGAGCUGAAUAAGCGUUCGAUGAUGGUAUUGUGCUGGUCCUAGGCUAGACCGUGCUAGAGACGCGAGCCUGGACACAAAGGAAAACCACAGCACACCCCCGAAAACAAGGUGGAAGAAACCUAAAAUCAAUAUGAAAAACAACCCCUUUUUUUUCUUUUGAAUCUUUUCUCUUUUCUUUUUUUUUUCUUUUUUUUGGGCAACCUCAAAAACUGAUUAUAUGAACAAAGGAAUACAAAAGAGCAAUUCGCUACACACACACACACUCUCUCUCUCUCUCUAGAGUAAGGCAGAACAAGUAUGGAGUUAUCUUUCUUUUUGGAUCACAGUUCAAUUCGGACUUCACAACAGAUUCGACAGAGAGAAGAUAUGGUAAUACUCGGCUGUGUAUAGAUGGUGACAAGAACUCGAAACUCUAAAGGACUAGACACUAAGACCAGCAACUCGACACAAACCGAAGCAACGCAAAUUCAACAAGCCCUAACUAAAACGGUACUAUCCAAGGCACAAAGGUUUAAUAGGAUUAUGGAAAAACUAAUCUACUAUAUUUUUUUUUGGCUUUUCUGGACUAUAGGAAAUUAAUUAAAAACAGCAAAGGAUUAGAAGUCUCUCACCGAAGAACCUUGCUCUGAUUACCAACUCAUGCGAACCCGCUAUGGUUUUUGGCCUGAUCUUUCGAUGAGAGGCGCUGGAUAACUCGAGUAGUGGAUGGAGAUGACGUUCACGGCCCGACUAUAGCCCUCAAGACCGCACCUUAGCAACCGAUACACCACGUUCAAUAGCCGUCACGAUCUUGUGGAGCGCGACAACCAGCCCCUAGGGCUCCCGUCCUGCAAGCAAUCGAAGAACUAGCAAGAACGAGUAAACAAGCACUGAAUUUGCAAGAUGAAUUGAAGGUUUCAAACUGAAUCUUAAUCAACAAUGGGGUUCCAAAGACAAGGAGACGGGCGGCUGAUCCUGCACGCGCGCCUACAAGCAAGUAGCGAAGGCUAAACUUGAUCUAAACAAAACCCAGUUGUUCAUGGCGGCUCUAGAUGUAAAUAAAUAGAGGGGAGGACGACCAAAGGGGUGCUAGAGUCGUCCUCCAACCCUAGGACGCGUCCCUAAUGGACUCAACUUGAUACAUGGGCCAUUGGUCCAAAAUAGGGUGACGCAGCACCAAAACAGAAAAAGGUGUCGGCACGAAAACAAGGACUGCGCCCGACUCAUAAGCUGCAUAGAUAUGUGGUUGGACCCAUUGGAAAGUAGACUUCAUGAGCUUUCCAACAAGUAUAGGAACGUCCCAGUUGGAGUCCAUAUGACGCCGUGGUGAUCCAUACAAGUUAGAGUUAUUUUCCAGUCCGAAUCCAACUCCCAAAACGUGUUGGGUUUGGACUCUUUGUUUCCUUGCUUUAGAAGCGAUGUGGUAACUUGAUAGAGGAUGUUGUGGAGGCUUGGACCUGAUCUCCAAUCACCUUUGUUAAGUUAUCACUCUUCCCAUAUGCAAUCAGCCCUUGAAGUUGGUGUUGCCUCAAAUUCUGAAUGCAGUUGAACCUUCCCUUGCUGAUCUUGUCCAUUAUUCCUGAGCAACACGAAAGUGCACGUGUCUCCAUUGUCUAAAUAUGAUUGACAAGAGUUUAAAACUGAACUUACUUGAAGGUUGAGUUGACGGGCACGAGCACGAGUAAGAGGACCAGCUAUAGGUUGUGUCGGAGAGGAUGUAGGACCAGCUAUAGGUUGUGUCGGAGAUGUAGGACCAGCUAAGGUUGUGUCGGAGAGGAUGUAGGAGAGGAUGUAUCGCUGGUGUUGAUGUCCUCAUCACCCUCAUCGUCCCUUGUCGGGGUACUCGCCUCGGUCUUCGCUUAAGCCGGGUGUUCCUUGACAGUCUCUGCCACAGUCGCAACCGCGGGUUGUUCCUCGGGUUGCACCCGGGUCGUCUGCUCGGCGGCGUUUUCAACGACAACCGCUGGCUCAGCUGUUCUCUAGCCGGUGACGUUGCCCGGAUCAACAUCUGAUGCCGCACUAGCAAAAGAAGACAUCAUGCCGACAUCAAAAUUCACAUAAAAAACAAAAAGAAAUAAGAAGGAUGAACUGCAGGAGACAGGUUUUAGAACUCACAGGUCGGAGCUCCUGUGUGUCGCAGUGAAGAACCUCCUCCUGUUCCUCCCAGCCGUCACCGCUGCUUCUGGCCCUCCAGGUCGUGUCGGCUCGGUGUGCGGGGCAGGAGGAUCACUGGUCACCCGACCAGCGUCGAUCGGCACAACGUUAGGCCGACUGCGCAGUCUUCGGACCAAAGACGGAGCAGCCUCACCCUCUUCGUCCUCGUCGUCAGUGAUCCUCACAAGUCGACGACGUUUUGGGGCCUGGCUGGUCUCCGUCGGCAAUACUUCCAUUCGGGAUGGCUCCACAGCCAUCGGCCUCUUCCCCGCCACCCUGUCUUCAGUAGUCGGCGCGGGACGGUUCUGGUCUUCUUCACUGCUGGUGUAUUGGGGACACCGAGCAGUAUCGCCCUCCGAUGGGUCCAUCCCUGCGGGAUGGUCCAUACCAGGUGCCAGUGAUACGUACACUGAGCACCGGUCAAUAUCUCCUAUCUGCAACAGAACAAACGACAAGUCAUCAACCAAGAGACUACAAUAUUCACAUAGCAAUACAAAUCGAUAAAGGUACUCGUUUACCUUAGGAGCUGGUCGUCCCAACUUGAAGGCGUGCAUCCGGUCAUCACUUUGAACGAAAUUAUCAUCAGACAAGUUGAAUAACUCAUUCAUCAGCUGCUGGACCUCCGUCUUCUCCAGACCAUCCGGGCACAUCCUGGUAGGGUCUUGGCUCCUCGCGUACUCAUACGCCGAGUGCACCCUCCUCUGGCAAGGCAUCACUCGACGCACCAGGAAGUUCCCGACCACUCCUGGCCCGUCUAAGCGGGACCAGUCAAUCAGGCUCAUCAGCUCUGCCACUUGACCGGUGUACUCUAGACGGUCUGUCCAGUUGACCCUCUUCUCGGGGAUGUAGCCCACGUCGCAGAACGUGGCGUUGCCCGGCUCUUCCCUGACGUAGAACCACUUCUUGUACCAUUCGGUGAAGGAAGUGUUCCAUGGGCAGCUGAGGUACCGGUUCUUCAUCCCGUCGCGUAGAUUGAGGUAUACUCCACCUGCAAUCUUGGAGCCUCGAACUGCUCCUUUCUUCCGCAAACAGAACAGACAGAGGAAGAGAUCGAAGUGCGGCUCUAUUCCAACAUAGGCGUCGCACAAGUGAAUGACGGUAGAGAUGAGGAGAAUAGAGUUCGGGUGCAGAUUUCAAAUCCCGAUCUCAUAGUAGAGAAGAAGACCCUGGAGGAAAGGAUGGACAGGAACCCUAAAGCCCCUUUUGAAGAAAUCCUCAAAAACAACAAUCUCACCGGCAUGGGGGUUGGGGUAGCUCUCCCCUUCUGGUGCCCUCCAACCGCCGAGCUCUUGGUUGUGUAGCAGUCCCAUUCCGACGAGGUUGUUGAGGGACCUCGUGCUGCUCCGGGACUUUUUCCACUCCUUGGCCGUCAACUCGGCCCUUUUCUUCGAGUCGCUCUUCGCCAUUGACGCCGCAGGGAGAACUUCGAACUAGAUGUUAAAGAUGGCAGUGGAAGGAGGCAGCAAUGGCAAGGUUAGGAGGUUUGUAAGCAAAAGCUGGGUAAACAGUAUGGAGCUGCGAGUUGACGGUCCUUAAGUACUAAAUUUAACCAUCAACUAAACAUGGAAAAGGAUCAAUAUGCACCAAACAUCUAGAAUUAGGAUUUUAUCUGACAAGAAUUCCAUGAGCUUUGGUGUUUGUCUAUUUCUGCAGGGAGUUAUCAGAAAAUAUGGAGAGAAGGCCCACAUGUCAUGUUUACAACGAGAUAAUUACGUGCCGCGUAAUUUUCCUUAAUCUAGAAGAGUCCAGAAGCCGCGGGAACGAACCGGAGACCGGACGGGCUCGGGGGCAGGGCGCCCGCCCUCCCCCCUUGGGCGCCCACCCUAGCCUCGGGGACAAUCACAAUCAACUUUGCAGAUUAUGCUCCACCGACCUAAAGGAUCAAGGAAAACCGUGCGAUCAAUGUCGGUUUGAUCCGACGACCCAAAUUCACUUGAAAGGACUAUAUAAUCAAGGCCUCUCCACCCUAGGGGGAGAGAGGAGAAAUCAUUAUCAAAGGUAGCCAUCAAAGUUAGGGUUUUAGAACUUCUCUCCCACAGAGAAUUAGAAUUAGCUACUCCCUAAUCCUUCAAGUUUAGAGGAUUGAUUAGAUAGAAUUAGAGAAGUAGAGCACAACGCUGUGGAUUCGGAUCUUCGUUAAUAAAGAUUGGUAUUAUUUCAUAUCUUUCUCUAUUAAUUUAUUCUAAUUGCAUUAUGUCUCUAUGUAUUAUGUUCUUAGUUUGCUCUAGUUCUAUAUUUGAUAUAGUUAUGAUUGAUAAUGAGUUUAUGUAUAAGUUUGCAAAGCGCUUAGCUCUUAACACGUGGGAGUUAAGUGGUAGAUCACAUGUAGGCGUGGUGCUUAGAUGUUAUUUACCUGCAAAUGUAUCCUAUUGGCCGGGUCGUGUGGUAGUUCGCGAUAGUGACAGCUUCGUUGAUUCUUAUAUAGUCCACCCUCCGUUGAUAGGACAGGCAGAAUUUGUAUUGCGGAGUAAGUCUUGCGAUGCUCUGAUUUACUUUAGCAAUGUUUUUUAUACAUGAAUGAAGAGUCUUUUAUGCUAUAUAUGAUCUUGUAGAUAACUAGAGUAGAUUGUGACUUAGUAGAUAGUAGAUAACUUAGAAUCCAUUCUCUAGCUAAUCCGACGUCACCUUACAUAUAUGAGGAGUAGUCUAUUUUCUAAUCGCUGUGUUAUUUACCCAUGAGCUUAUAAUUCAUUAUCAUUAUUAUUAUGGCUUACCCCCUGCCGAAGUAAGUGACUGUGUGACGAGUUCCUCAUUAGUAAUCAUGUUCUUGCAAGUUUAUCUCUAGUCUAUGCCUUGAUAGAUUUUAUCCUUAUCUUUAUCUCCAUUGUUCUCUUAGGCAAAAUUAUAAAUAACGAUAGCUGGAAUACUUACCUGGUGAAAUGCUACAAUGAGGUGUUUUAUCUGUACGCUUGCGGAUAGAAUAGAUUAUUUUCUAGAGAGCCUCCAUAUUUAUAAAUACCUUUGUACACUCUGGCACCAUGCUGGGGAUGACAACCUAGUAUCCAAGUGGUGUUAGUAAGUGUCAACAAGCAUUUCUGGCGCCGUUGCCGGAGAACAAAAGGGAAACACAUAGAAAGAAGAAGACGGUAAGGAAAGUCAGGAAGUCAAACAAGGUUAUUCACAUAAAAUAUUAGACUAGACUAUAGAGAAAUAAUUGCAUAAAACAACUACUAAGUGAGAAAUCAUAACAAGGCACCUCUGCUUUGGUAGGUUCACCCUGUUGUUUUUCUAUGUUUAUAUUUUUAUACAAGUUAUAUCAGGAUUGACUUUGGUACAUUCAACUCUUCAUCAUUAGAACCAAAGCAAUCAAGAAAGAAAGAAGAAGCUAGCUACCAACUGCUGAAGCUAUGGCACAGAAGACCCUAUGAGAAAUCUCUGCUCCAAGCCUCGAGAACAUUCCAACUGGUCCAAGAUUUGCAGUAGAAGAAGGAGCACCCGAGUUUGAGCUCAAGUCAAGCCUCAUCAAUUUUGUACAAGCUACACAAUUCAGUGGAAAGGCACAUGAAGAUGCCAGUGCACACUUGCAUAAUUUCUUAGAGAUUGGAAGCACAAUCCACAUCAACGAAGUCGACAAAGACGUCAUACUGCUUCGCCUUUUUCCAUUCUCACUAGAAGGGAAAGCAAGAAAGUGGUUCUACAUUCAUCAAGAUAACAUCAACAACUGGACGAACUUGUCAGAUGCCUUUCUAUCAAAGUUUUUCCCAAUUGGCAAGACAACUGCCUUAAGAGGAAAUAUUAUCAGUUUCCAACAGCAGAAGACAGAAACCAUUCCAGAAGCAUGGAAGCGUUUUCAAGGAUACAUAUCAGAUUGUCCUCAUCAUGGAAUGGCCACAUGGUUACUUAUGCAGACCUUCUACCAUGGAUUAACCCAGAAGGCUCGUGAGUGCCUAGAUGCAUGUGCUAAGGGAUCAUUCUUGGAGCUUACAAUUGGAAAAGCAGAGAUACUUUUGGAUAAUAUAGCAGAAAACCAAAGCUGGUUCCAAGAUAAAGCUCAACAAUGUCAUCAAACUGAAGAAAUACCAAAAGAAGUAAAUGCAUUAUCAACCAAGAUGGAAAAUUUGCUCCAUUGGAUUGACCAGAGGGCCAAGUUCAAAGAAGAUCAAAGGGCCAUUGAGACAACAUACAAAUAUCAACCUAUCUCAAGUCAACCCAAUAGCAAAGGUAAGAAUUCAGGUAAUACUUUCAAGCAACUUUCAUUAAAAGAGAUAAUUGCUCAACAAACCAAAACUAAUGAUGAAGUUAAACAAAGGCUAGAAACAAAUGAAUCAUCUCUAAAAGACAUACACAAUAAAAUGGAUUUUCUAUUAACUGCCUUUGAUGAGCAAAACACUCUUAAUAAAAGGGUAGAGCUUAAAUUAAUAAAGCUUGCUGCUGCGUUGCCUGUUGCCACUAACAUUGAGCAGGUAAAGAACAUAACUACUAGAAGAAGCAAAGCCACCAGGGAUCCCCCAUACCCAAAAGAGAAACAAAGAACAUCAGAACCAGUGCAACCAACAGCGAUAGAAGAAGAAAGCCCAGUUGAAGUAGAAGAUCUACUACAACCACCAAGAACUGGAGAAAUGAGGAAAGAUUUUUACGACACCAACUAUUUGCCAUUUCCCAGAAGAAACAGAGGACUGUAGUCGGAUGAGCAGUUUGGUAAGUUCGUAGAGGUCAUUCAGAAAUUAUAUGUCAACAUUCCUCUGCUUGAUGCCAUACAGGUACCUACAUAUACAAAGUACAUCAGAGAUUUUCUUAACAAAAAGAGACCACUGCCACCACUGAGGUUAUCAAGCUGACAGAUGAAUGUAGUGUGGCCAUCCUCAACAAACCACCAAGGAAGAAGAAGGAUCCAGGAUGUCCCACCAUUGACUGCUCGAUCAGAAACCAACACUUCAACAAUGCACUUUGUGAUCUCGGAGCAAGUGUCAGUGUGAUGCCAGCAUCAGUCUAUGAGAAGCUUGUGCAUACGACCCUAGAACCAACGUCAAUAUGUCUACAAUUAGCAGAUCAAUCAGUUCGACACCCGUUGGGUAUCGCCGAAAACAUUCCAGUCAGGAUAAGAGAUUUCCUUGUGCCAGUAGACUUUGUGGUACUGGACAUGAGUCCUGACUCAAAAGUACCCAUCAUCCUUGGAAGGCCAUUUCUGAGCACUGCCAAUGCCCACAUUGAUGUCGGGAAGGGAGAAAUCAAGUUCAACAUAAACGGACAAGAAGAACACUUCACAUUCAAGCCCAGACCAGAGAGAGACUCUACAGUGAAGGAAGUUCAUAAAGAAGAACCACUGGAGACACCAUCUCUAGAGGAAGGUAAUUCAGAAGAUUAAAAAGAUUUGGAGGUCCAGCUUGGGGGACCUAAAAAUCCCAAACCCUCGCCGGGAGGUAAAUCGGUAUUUAUCCGCAUCAUUAAUUCUCUCAUAUUUAAUUCUUGCAUUAGUCAUAUUUAUUCAUAGAAUUAUAAUAAUCAAAAGCCCCAUAUAAAUAAUAUUUAUGGUGUGUGACAACCCAUAUUUAUUAAUUAUUGUGGAGGCACAAAAAUAUUUUUCAUUAUCAUUUCAAAUAAGUUUCAAUUCUCAUAGAUUUUUCUGCAUUAUAUUUAAUUAUAGCAACCUUCUAGAAGCAUGACCCACACUCCUUGGGUCCCACAUGUCAUACACCACACCUCACAUACAUCCCAUCAUGUUAUUUGAUCCACCAACAUAUCUCCACUCACCAGCACUUUUCCGCCGACAAACCACCACCCAUGAACUAUUAUUCUGCGUAAGAACCAAGCAAAGGAGGGAGUAGAGAAAAGACAGUCAGGAUGGCCACCAAAGGUGGGCGCCUGCCCACCUACAGGGGGCGCCCGCCCUGUCCCCUUUUCCUCCUAUAAAUUGCCACUUCCUGCCUCCAACCUCUUCACACAAGCAUUCCUAGAAACCACGCAAGUUUUAGUUUCCAGAGAAGGAGCUCUUGUAGUGAAGAGAGAAGGAGAGUAGAGAGGAAGAGAAGAGUGGAAGAUAGGUUGGUAGUCUUUGAGUGAGAGAGUAAGGUUCACCUAGUAAGUAGUGAUCCCGUUGUCCAAAGCGGAAGUAAAAGUUGUUUAGGGGGAGGUGCUGCCAAAAUAAAAACUUGUCUUGAACGACUAACCCCUGGACUACUGACAUUUCGGACAGCUCACCACUAACAUUUUUCUCUCACACAUUUUCCACUAGUUGUGUGUGUGUCAACAAUUGUCUACAGGAUGUUCAAGAAGGUGAAGAACGCAGGGAAGGUCCUCAAGAAAAUAGGUACAAGGAGUUCAUCUCGACACUCCUCGAACCAGUCAGAGAUGAGCGUCGACAUGACACCCCCGCAAGCUCCGUCAUCUUCAUCUGAUCCACAAGUCAAGGUCCUCCUCAAGAUAGGAGGCCUUGGACUAAAGACCCGCAGGGAAAAGGAAGUUUACCAGCAGCUAAAGAAUAAGGAUUUCAUUCACACCCCCACUCUUGAUCCUAUCUUGCUACAAGAAACAGGACAUUAUGUUGUCUUGGAGAGAAUUGAGCGACCAUCUCGGUUUCUCUUCAAGAUGCAUCUUGGACAUUGACUCCGAUUUACCCAAUUUUGAGAGACACCAGUUCUGGAGAGAGAUAUCUAGAGAUGAGUUUUAUAGCCAAGCCCGAACCAGCGACAUGGAACACCUCACUCUUAGGAUGUUCCACAAAUGGCUCAGGUACAAUCUUUUCCAUCGUGAUGAUAUUAGAAAAGUAAGAAUAGGAGAUUUACAAUCUAUAUGCUGCUAUAAAUAAAGUACCCACUUCACCUGUUACACUUUUGGUUUCUCAUUGGCUUAGUAUACCUAGUCUUCUAGGACCUAUCGGUUGUACUUCACUCAUCACUCGUCUAGCCUCUAAUCUUAAUUUGCUAGAAAACACAUCAUUGGAAUUCAUUGAUGAAUUACGAAUUUAUCAUGGCUAUGACACAUUUAGGCAAGCUUGGAUGUUGAAAAAAGAAGGGAACGUAAUGUAUAUGUUAUACGAUAAUAAAGGCAAGAUUCGGUUACCUAACCCGAACCUUGGCCUCUAUGUUGUUCAAAAUUAUUUGAUUGAGAUUGUAGUGACACCGAUAAACCAGAGAGCUCCACAACGAGUGGCAUCUGAAAGGAUGACCACCCAUCGAGAACACACUUGGUAUGGAGCUGAUCCCGGGCCAGAAGAAGCAGCACACCUGCAUUAUUGUGACUACAACCCCCGAGUCCUUCGGGACCCAUGGGUUCGACAUUCUCAACCACAAGAGCCAAAACAGGAGACAUGGCCGGAGAGCCAAGAUCACUAGUGGACAAACCCACCGUUCCAUACGGGCAGGCACUCCACUGAUCCAUAUGGAGCUUCAGGGUCCAGACCUCCGCCCCAAUUCGAUGCAGGACGGUACUCUGACGCCUCUUAUACUUUCACGAAUGACUACUACCAAGAGGCCGGCGCCUUCUGCACCCGUACCGACAACACCCUCCUCGACAUCUAGAAUACGCAAGCGAAACAUGGACGACUCCUGGAACAACAACAAAAGUGGAACCAGGACCACGCCAACUGAGGCAAGACACCACGACAAUGAACGACAAUAUCACCACCAUGAUGCGAUUCUGGAACAUCGGGUAAGACCGACAACCACAUCCAGCUUGGGGGAGUUCCUCCCCGUUUUAUCAGGUAAGUUUUUAUUUGCUUUUCUUAUUUAUUCUUUUCUGUUUUAGUGUUUUAUUUAUCUUAAGGCAAAAAAAACUUAGAAAACUCAAUAAAUAUUUUCUUGCUUUAAUUUACUCCAUUCUAUAAACAUGAAAACAAAAUAAAAAGAGUGUGUAGAUAAGUGUGCUUUAUUUAUCUGCUAAGUGUUAAUCUCUAGAAAAAAUAAAAAGACCAAAAAAAUACAUGAUGGAAAUGAUGAAUAGUUGCUCUGUUUGCUUACUUUCAAGUACCUAGCUUUUAUAUUAGAGUUCUUCCAGGAAUUACUAAAACUAAAAUUACUAUCUGUGGGGAGCAUAAAACUAAAGUCUAAGUAAGAGAAGGACAUGAUAUAAAGUUUGAGCUGCUAUUUAUCUUGUUCCUACUACACUGAGUUCUGGAGAUUUAUUUUGAAAACUUGCAAAUCACAUGAUGAGUUCCUAGCAUGACAAAAUUCCUACCACAACCUUACUUGCUAUAACAUCUUUUGUUACUUAUAUUUACAUUGAGUUUGAUCGAGUUGUGUAGACCCUUAGGAGCUUUUCAUGUGGUUAAAUUAAGAUAUUCACUUGCACACAUCUACUACACCAUCCACCACCAUUCAUUAAAAUUGCUAAAAAUAUUAUCAUUCGCUGUCCCGAGUGUUGUUAUUCUCUCUCUCCAAAAAGAUUCAAUGCAGAAGAGACAUGAGUUAUGCAAAAAUAUGCGAGGAAAUAAAAAGGGGCAAGUGCCCGAAACCUCGAAAAAGAAAGAAAACGAGUGAGACGAGAGGUAAAAAUGGACAAGUAUCCGGAGUAGAAUUAGGGGUACAAUAAUGCCCACCUGAGCGAAAAAAAUGGACAGGUGUCCGGUAGUAGAAUUAGGGGUAUUUUCUACCGACCUGAAAAAAAGAAGAGAUAGCCCAUGUUCUCCCAAAGCAAAGAUCAAAGAAGAGGAGAGAUAGCAAUAUGAGGAGCAAUGAGAAGUAAGUUUUAUCAUCACUUAUACAUUUUUACCAUCACUAUCAUUUACUCCACCACACAUGCACAUCUUAAUUUAAUUAUAUGCUGAGUUCCUUUGGAUCCAUGGCUCGAUUAGACAACAUAUGUAUGAGCUAUUUUCACACCUAUGAGCUCCACUUAAAUAUUCCAUUAGCUAUAGGUAGGUGACAUCUUUGUAAGGAUCCACAAAUACCACAUAUAAAGAGACUAGAGAGAAUCAUAGCUGGGAACUCAGAGCAUUAUUUUUGAAAACUUAUGAAAAACCCAGAACAAAGGUGAAGUAUAAACAGGAGGAAUAGUGCUUGACUUAACUAUUUUGUCUUUCGAUUACUUAAGACUUAAGUGCAGGUACUAAGCUCCAUAACACUUCACUCUAAUCACAAAGAAUUUUUAUGUGAAAGCAUGUGUGCCUGUCAGGAAAGAAAACAUCGAAACAACUCCUGACCCAUCUGAGUUUAGCUAUUUGCUCAGGGACGAGCAAAGGGUAAGCUUGGGGGAGUUUGUUGACGGUCCUUAAGUACUAAAUUUAACCAUCAACUAAACAUGGAAAAGGAUCAAUAUGCACCAAACAUCUAGAAUUAGGGUUUUAUCUGACAAGAAUUCCACGAGCUUUGGUGUUUGUCUAUUUCUACAGGGGGUUAUCAGAAAAUAUGGAGAGAAGGCCCACAUGCCAUGUUUACAACGAGAUAAUUACGUGUCGCAUAAUUUUCCUUAAUCAAGAAGAGUCCAGAAGCCACGGGAACGAAUGGGAGGCCGUAUGGGCUCGGGGGCAGGGCGCCCACCCUCCCCCUUGGGCGCCCACCCUGGCCUCGGGGCCAAUCACAAUCAACUUCGCGGAGUAUGCUCCACCGACCUAAAGGAUCAAGGAAAACCGUGCGAUCAAUGUCGGUUUGAUCCGACGACCCAAAUUCACUUGAAAGGACUAUAUAAUCAAGGCCUCUCCACCCCAGGGGGAGAGAGGAGAAAUCAUUAUCAGAGGUAGCCAUCAAAGUUAGGGUUUUAGAGUUUCUCUCCCACAGAGAAUUAGAAUUAGCUACUCCCUAAUCCUUCAAGUUUAGAGGAUUGAUUAGAUAGAAUUAGAGAAGUAGAGCACAACGCUGUGGAUUCGGAUCUUCGUUAAUAAAGAUUGGUAUUAUUUCAUAUCUUUCUCUACUACUUUAUUCUAAUUGCAUUAUGUCUCUAUUUAUUAUGUUCUUAGUUUGCUCUAGUUCUAUAAUUGAUAUAGUUAUGAUUGAUAAUGAGUUUAUGUAUAAGUUUGCAAAGCGCUUAGCUCUUAACACGUGGGAGUCAAGUGGUAGAUCACAUGUAGGCGUGGUACUUAGAUGUUAUUUACCUGCAAAUGUAUCCUAUUGGCCGGGUCGUGUGGUAGUUCGCGAUAGUGACAACUUCGUUGAUUCUUAUAUAGUCCACCCUCCGUUGAUAGGAUAGGCAGAAUUUGUAUUGCGGAGUAAGUCUUGCGAUGCUCUGAUUUACUUUAGCAAUGUUCCUUAUACAUGAAUGAAGAGUCUUUUAUGCUAUAUAUGAUCUUGUAGAUAACUAGAGUAGAUUGUGACUUAGUAGAUAGUAGAUAACUUAGAAUCCAUUCUCUAGCUAAUCCGACGUCACCUUACAUAUAUGAGGAGUAGUCUAUUUUUUAAUCGCUAUGUUAUUUACCCAUGAGCUUAUAAUUCAUUAUCAUUAUUAUUAUGGCUUACCCCCUGCCGAAGUAAGUGACUGUGUGACGAGUUCCUCAUUAGUAAUCAUGUUCUUGCAAGUUUAUCUCUAGUCUAUGCCUUGAUAGAUUUUAUCCUUAUCUUUAUCUCCAUUGUUCUCUUAGGCAAAAUUACAAAUAACGAUACCUGGAAUACUUACCUGGUGAAAUGCUACAAUGAGGUGUUUUAUCUGUGCGCUUGCGGCUAGAAUAGAUUAUUUUCUAGAGAGCCUCCAUAUUUAUAAAUACCUUUGUACACUCUGGCACCAUGCUGGAGAUGACAACCUAGUAUCCAAGUGGUGUUAGUAAGUGUCAACACUGCGCAUCGAGCUUUUUAUAACAGCGGCUCCACCUCUACCACUUCCCGCGUUAUGGGGAAGUGGGCGGAUCUUGCGGCGGCCGCGGCGUUUCGGUUUUCAAUGAUUAUCACAACUAAUUUGGUGGUUUUUCUGCCGGAGUAAUGGUUUCCUUUCUUGGACCACACAAUGAGCGGCUGCACAGUUACCAGGUGCACCUUUUUAUACAAAAGCCUGAAAAUAUGGCAGGAUGCCCUGUCACAUCUUACAUUAAUAUGGCGAUAGUAUUUUUUCAAAAAAGAUAAGAAGGAUCUUUGGUCAGACAGAUUUGAUAUGCUGGGGACUGCACCGACCACCGAGCAUCAUAUGCUCGGGGACUGGUCGACUAGUUCGCUCAUUGGACAUGCUGGGGACUACACCGACCACUGAGCAUUAUAUGCUCGGGGACUGGUCGACCAGUCUGCUCGUUUGAUAGUUUGAGAGUUUACCGACCACUGAGCAUGAUAUGCUUGGGGACUGGUCGACCAGGCUGCUUUACCAUAGACGAGCAUGAUAUGCUCGGGGACUGGUAAAUUCAAUUGUAUAACUUCGGCUCGGUAAUUUUAAUUUUUUAGACCUUGCUACAAGGCUCAUACUUCGCCUUCCAGCAAGCUCGGAGACUACAUCGGUACGAUGCAUCUGGCGAUGCAUUUCAGUAUCAGGUUUUCUAUGUGGUUUUUCUCUUUAGAGCCUGGCACCACAUGCCUACGUCACCUACUGCCAGGCUCGGGGACUAAGUGGGCACACUUCACCUUGCGAUGAAUAUGCUUGCUUUUUGAAAGUCUGUACUUUUCAAAAAAGUAAAGUGGGCACACUUUAUCAGAAAAGAAAUCUUUUUUCUCAAGAGCACCAUACAUUCUUCGAACAACCGGCUUCUUCGAUGUUGAUGAUGGUCAACUGAUUGUCAAGUUGGUCAAAAUAAAGUGACAACUGUUCGGGUGACUUUCCUGGUUGUCAAAGAUGUCAAGUCUUGCUGGUCGAAGAAGCUCAAGAUGGCGUGUUGCAUCAUAAUACAUGGAGCUCGGAGACUAGCUGUGGGGGAUAUAAACCCCUAUACCCUUACGGCUAGACUUGGGCCUGGAGGCUUGGCUCAUUACGAGACGAGUUCGAGGCUUGAUCCGACUCUUCGGAGUUUCGCGCAAGGAAACAAGACGUGGAGAUCAAGCAGGAUUCUAGUACUAUCUAUGGCAAUUGUAACUGACUAGGAUUAGUUUCCAGAUCUGUAACCCUGCCCUCUGGACUAUAUAAGGAGAGGCAAGGGACCCUCCUAGACAAUUAAUCCCAACUCAACACAAUACACAGCAAUACAAUCAGACGCAGGGCGUAGGUAUUACGCCCACACGGCGGCCGAACCUGGAGAAAAACCUUGUCCGUGUCUUGCGUCACCAUCAAGUUCGUAGCUUGCGCACCGUCUACCGAUAAACUACUACCCUGGGCAUACCCCAAGGUAGACUGCCGACCAGCUUUCGUCGACAGGGCGUCUCUAGGCAGGGGCCGCACGGUGUCCACCUCGAAGGGCUCCACAGCAGCGGAUUUGACACUGGUAGAGCAGAUCCAACGAGCGGUGUGGAGAGGCCAGGUCUGAUGGGGGCGCGGUGUAGGACACCGGAUCGGUGGUGUUGCGGUCUGGGGACGCCGAAUCCGGUGUUGCACGGCACGCGGUGGCGCAUGGGGAUACACGGGGGGCUCCAAAGUGGGUUCAUCGGUGGGCUUUCAUUUUUUAUUUUUUUAAAUAAUUUUCAGAGGCGGGCAAAGCGACCGCCUCCGUUAAUCUCCAUUAACCGAGGCCUUCAAUUGGAGAUGGUUGUAAUGUCCGCCUCCAAUAAUCGAUUAUGCCUGUCUCUGAAAAGAUUUGUGAAGUAGUGGAUCACUUCACUCACGUGAACAAAAGCGUGAGGGAUGACUAAAAUUGACAUAUAUGUGUUUGGAUUGGAGCUUCCCAACACUCAAGGUUGGAAAUGUAUCAAAUAUUUACUUAUAGUUGAAAAGGGUUUAUAUAGACUUGUGUUGUAAUUAGUAGUAGAGGGUUCAGUAGAGCUAAGUAUUGGACUCUUGUAAGAGAACUCUAACCAAACCCUUUGAACCCUCAUAGCUAAAUAUGAGUAUCUAGAAAUAAAUAAAUAAAAAGCUUUGGUAGGGCUCCUAUUAAAGCGCCCAGAUUUGGGUGGGCACCAAAAUCAUCAGUCAUCACACCACGGACAUGUUCCUAACGGACUUUAAGACGGUCCAACAGACUCAAAGGCGAUGAUAGACACCUAACAGCUGAACGCUGACUUAUUUCAACGAUUUCCCUUGACUCCAGUUGAAUUUAGACCUCAAACCAAAGGUAUUAGUUGGCUUAUGAAAUUACGGAAUGACGAGUUGUCUUCUAGAAGAUUUUUGUGGCCUUUAUCAUUCAAUUUUUAUUCAAUGACAGAUUGACACGUUAAAAUUAGAAUAAAAUAUCAAAAUAAUAAAAUGAUACAUCAUAUAUACAUGUAGUUUUACAAUCAAAACCAAUAGAGAAAUACGGAAAAACAUUAAAAAAAUCUGUUCUGCAAACACAAAUGACUAAUACCCGAUUUUGAUGUCAAGGCGUGCAUGUCGAUUUGACCUAUUAAUCGACAAAGGUGAUAACUUGAAUACUUUUGUCCUGACAACAGCGAUGCACUCGGAUGUCACGGCCAAGAGGUACUCACACGGAACUCGAGAGUCGUCGAGUGUAACUCGUCGAAUCUUUGAGAACUCGUAAACAGAAAAAAUAUGUGAAUUGACGAAGUCGUUGAAAAAUAGAUGCAAAAGUAGAAGUAAAUUUGUGUUUGGUAUUGAUUGAUAGGUCUAUAUUUAUACCCUGGCCUAAAGAGUUACAACCAAAUAUGACUAGGACUCAAUUAAAGUAAACAAGACUCUUACAUUUAAGGCAUACUUAAACAUUUAUAGAAAAAGAAAACAACAUCUAUCUAUUCCUAUAUCCGCCUUAAUCACGAUGAAGUCCUCGUCGGCUCCUGUCCCACCGGCAUGCACAUGUCUCUCCUCCAAUAGUCUUUAUGUUCUUCUUCAUCGGCAUCGGCAAUCAUAACGAGUAUCGGCAAUAGUUUUCAACCCGUCAUCAGCAAAAUAUCACCUCCGAUCUAACACCGCUGAACCCAAGAUAAUCUUCCCAGCAAUCGGCAUCUCUUAUCGUCAACAGUUUCCAUCAGCAUAUUCCUAUCGGUACAUUUCUGCUUAACACAAUCGACUUCCUCGCUGUCGAUCGGUCCAUUCUUGACAUGUGCUAAAAACGGUGUCAACACAUGCCCUCCAAUUUCGGAGUAUAAGGUCAUUUAUGCCCCGAAAUUUGCUCCAGAUAAUUACUGCCUUUACAUAAUUAUCUUUUUUUUUGAUAAAGUCUGUUACCAAAUCCAGAUCAAGGUUGACGUAAAGGAAACAGCUCAUCGGUAAGAGUUCAGUACUAAAAUGCGCUGCCGAUCUUAUUAAAAUAUUCCACACAUUGGAAUAUCCCUAAAAUCAUGAUUGCUUGCCAUUAAAUCAUCCACACAAUCCUUUGAUUGUCGUGCGAACAGUUACCAUAUCCAUCUGAACAACCUCGAAUUUUACGCAUACGGUAGAGAGAUAAGUCUUAAAUGCCCUUGCCCGGCUCAACCUAUAAAUACAUCCCUUCUAGGCACUCAUCUUCUACCUCGCCAUUUUCCAUCUCCAAGACCUACUCCUUCUGGCAGCGAUCUUCGACAAGCAAGUACAUAUCUUCAUCUAGCAAGAACCUUCCCUUGCAGAAUCCUCAAGUUUUUGGCCUUGCCUCCAUUCUGCUCAGAAGAAAUGGCGAUCAACUUCAACGUCCCUGAGGUCAACCCCGCAUUCACCCUAUUUUACUAUAGUUCCUAUUUCUUUCAUAAGUUCAUAUGCUUAGCGAUUUUCUUUUCUUUUCCUCUGCCUCUUUGAUCUUUUAAACCUAGGAACUGAGCGACAAAAUAGUUAUCCCAACCGAUCAGCCACACAUCCAAUGCUUGGGCCCGAUGGACAAUCUAGAUCCAACCGAUCUGAUAAACGCAGAGGCUAAUAGAAUCCCAUUCAUAGCCAAAAACUUCUCCUUAGAUCUGUGGAAAGAUACUUUCCGAUCCUGGCCCAAAACCACCAAGGGAUGGAAGAAUUGGUUUCUGAGGGUUAGUGGAGCCAAUGAGGUAUACUGGGCAGAACGCAAGCUAGAUCAGUGCGUUAGGCUCUCCAUGCCGAUAUGGAGAAAAAUGAGUCGAUAAUGAUAGCAGCUGCUUAUUUCUGGUCAGAUACUUUCAAUGCUUUCAUGUUUGGUCAUGGCCCAGCUUCCCCUUCUCUUGCCGAUGUGUACAUGCUUACGGGCUUGGAUAUUUCAACUGCCAAUGAUGGUAGGCUCUUCAACAGAAAGUCCGAUUACAAAGUAGACACCCGUAACAUCGGUGGCUGGACAGGAUAUGUCCAGAAAUAUCGGCAAACUGGAUCGGUUAGUCAGAGAGAGCACGCUAUCUUCUUGAAUAUGUGGCUAGACAGAUUCAUUUUUUACGGCCGAUCGGUAGGGCCAACCUGUGUUUAUCUCGCAGCAGCCGAGCAAUUAGCUAAUGGUUCUAGAUUCCCUCUUGGCCGAUACCUCUUGAGCUCCACCAACUAUCUCCUCCAUCAAGUGACUAAGAAACUCCUGCUUGGCAAACCUAUCGGUAAUCUGGGAGGCCCCUGGUGGUUCAUCAAUAUGUGGCUAAAUGCCCAUAUGCAUAAGCGUCUGCAGUGGAACUUUUUCACCCAGCAAUUCCCUCGAGACAUCGCUGAAGAAAACAAAUUGGCAGAAGAUGAUUCGGCAACCCGCUCGCCCCUCAAUUUCGGCGAAGCAAUCAUAGUCCUUGCUGGGACUGAAGCAAACAAAAAUCAGAUCGGCAGAUUCUUCCAGACUCUCUACAAUGGCCUAUCCUGGGAGCAUCGGGCUUGGAUGCCCUAUGUCGAUGAGGAUGCCAGAUUUCCUCUCCUCUUCCAUCCUGUCUGUUGACGGUCCUUAAGUACCAAAUAUAAUCAUCAAAUAAAUAAAGAAAAGGAUCCAAAUGCAACCAACACCAAGACUUAGGGUUUUAACUGACAGAAUUCUACGAGUUUUGGUGUUUGUCUAUUUCUGCAGGGGGUUAUCAGGAAAUAUGGAGGAAAGGCCCACACGUCGGGUUUACAUAGUGAUAUUAACGUACCGCGUAAUUUUUUAUCAUCUAGAAGAGUCCACAAGCCACGGGAACGAACGGGAGGCCGAACGGGCCUGGGGGCAGGGCGCCCGCCCUCCCCCUUGGGCGCCCGCCGUGGUACAAGCACCAAUCACAGAAUGGAGUACACCAUUACAAAUAUCUCGUCGUGCUGAUCGAAAUGCAUAUAUUAUUUGCUAUAUUUGGAGUUCGGAAUCAAGAGAUAUUAAUAAAAAAAGGACUCCACAUAAAAGAGCUGAGGGAUUAAUCGGGCCCAAAUCACAUUUUGGUCCAUUAAGGUCUAUGUGCAUUUUAAUGAGAUAUGGUGGAAAGUUUAGUACCACAUCGCCUGCUAAACCAAAAAGGCACAAAGGAGGAGGACAAUAUAAGCAAGGCCCCUGGCCCCUGGAGGAGAACACAUCAAUAUAGAGUUGAGAGGUGCCCUCGAAGGAUAACCUUUCCUCUAUAGAGAAUUAGGGCUUAGCAUCCCAUGUGAGAGUAGAACUAGUUCUACUAGAUUGAGAGAGAUAGAGUGGAGGUGUAGAUCGUAGGAAGCUCGGCCUGUCGGUGUCUACUCCGAGGUUGUAGCUACGGGAUCAAGUCUCCUAACCCGAGGCUUGCUCCUAGGAUUCUUCAGUAUUUCGACUUCUAAAUUCUAGUAAGUUCUACUGUUCUUUGGUUUAUGAGUUUACUUUAAUCUCUUUCGGUUGAGUUUAGAGUAAUCAUUGCUAGCGUAAACGUGGUGUUUGGGCUAGGGUACUCAUAGAUAUCCCCUGACUAGCUGGACCGUGGUAGUAGCGAGGAACGUGACAUUUCCGAGUUACCUUUGUAGCCCACAUCCCGUUAGCAGGAUCGAUAGGGUUUAUAGGUGCGGGUCGAACAUCCUUUGUGGUGUUUAGAUUCCGUGAGCCUCCCCAAUAGAACAGUAGAUCAUCCUUACCAAGGUUAGAACGAGACUACGGUUGUAGUCUUCUCUAUACAUCGCUCACAUCGAUUCACAUUCUUUGUAGCCUAAAGGUAGUAGCAAUAGAUUUAGUUAGUCAGAUACACGCUUUAUUCCAGUGGUAAAAAUAUAAAUACGAUACUUUGGAUAACCUCCCGGGUGAAGUGCUCACCAAUAUCCGUACGCUUGCGGAUCAUUUCCUGAUGGCGUUACCAAAUAUCAACAAGCAUUUCUGGCGCCGUUGCCGGGGAGAAAGACGGUUUGCUGAGAUAACUUUAAGUCUUGCUAUUAUCUUGUAUUAUACUUUUAUACUUUUAUACUUUUAUUAUUUUAUUUUUUUCCAUCUUUAUGGAUAACUCAAAUUCCACACCUAUUAUUGAAUUCUUUGCACCUUCAGAGACCAGCCAUAGACCAUGGGAGUCAACAAGUCCUUUCUUUGCCCCUAAUUAUGAUCUGUGUCCGGAGUUGAUUGCAAUAGGUCAAAACCAACCCUUUUCUAUAGCUGAGGUCCUAUCUUUUAAUCAAGAAGAUAAUGAACUUUUAGCUACACCUAGGGAAUCUUUUAAUCUUUCUAUAAAUUAUAUUUUAGACCUAGCCCUACAAGACCAUGUUUUUCCUUAAUAUUUUCACAUUGGUCUUAAUCAUAUAACCUUUGGUAGAUUUUUUCUUUCUUUAUCUGUUAGUAAAGCAAAGUAUGUCUUCAUUCGUGGACAUCCUUAUUGCACUAGUCUUCAUAAAAAAUCCUAGAGAUAGAGAAGGAAUCAUCUCCGAGACGAGGAAAGGAAGUUUCAAUAGCCGAUUUCCAAACAUUUAAAUCCCAUGAUUCGGCUAUCCAACCCAAACUAGUAGUGCUCCAAAAUCAUCUAAGGGAAGAAGAAAUUCUACCUUUAGAAAUUCAUUUUGGGAUGAGCUUAAACUUCCUGCUUCAUAAGAGACCUUUGAGUGCAUAUAGUUUGAACCUUCCUAAGAAGGGUUCUCUUAGAAAGCAUCUCAAAUCCAAUCCCUUUGAUGGACAUCUAGAAAGACUCAAGGAUGGCAUCUUAAGUGAUGCAACAGAAGGAGAGCGAAGCCAUUUAGAAAACAAUCUCAUCUUCUCCCCUUCUACGCCCACUUUUUAUGACUCAUUCGAACCUAUCUUUAAACCCAUCCUUGAGCCUAAUAAUUUCUACUAUGCUCUUUCUCUUGAACCUCCCGAUGAUCCUAUGAAUCUCUCUAGACAUCCCAUGCAUAAGAGUCACCAAGACCACAAGGAGGAUCGAGAAGAGCAACAUCAAUGGCCAGAGGGCAUUAAAAAUCCAUGUGCUAUCACCAUUGAAUGGAUUGAUAAAACGAACUUGAGAGACAAUCCUAGAGGAAUUUUAAGCAUUCAUGAAGAAUCAUCCUUAGAGUUUGAGAAUGAGAGAAACAACAGUGAGCAUGGAAGUUAUUUCAUAAAUACCUCACCAAGUCCUUGCUCAUAUAAAACAUCUCUCCAAUCAAUUGGUCUCUCCAACCUUACCACAUUUGAGAUCUUCAACCCCCUCUUCCUUUCUAUUUAUAAAAACUUUAAAAGGGCGGUUGUCGAUGCAUAUGUCUAUAAUAAAUAUUGCAGAUCUCGUUGAGUUGAUCUUGAUAUAGGUCAGCGUUGGAGGGGAAACCACUUCGCUAACAUAAAUUGAUGGUUUCCCAAGGACAAGCUUAGUGUCCUAAAACAAGCACUUAUCAGAUCGUAACAUGAACUUUUAAUUAUUUGCAACAUUGCCUUGUGUAUUGAGCAUAUAAAGAUAAUUGUAGAAAUAUUCCUUCGGGUAUUCUUGUCACUAACCUUUCUAGGAUUGGAGCAAGAAGAUCGGAUGAAUGACAAGCACAAGGUAUGUCCAACCAAUCAUCAUACAACAUUGAAUUAAAUUCAUCCAAACUUGAAUUUUGCAAAAUUCAAGCUUGGGGGAGUACGUUACAUAAAAACAUCCUUUGCCAUGUUGCUAUGUUGGUUGUCCCUACCUUUGAGGCAUGCUCAAUUGAUUAAAUACUAAUCACACUACUUCAUCUCCACUUGAGUAGAUCUCUAUAAAUGCCAUCACGCUACCUUUGUUUAUCCUAGUAAGUGUUAGUUUGGAAGUACUGCACAUACUUCUAUUGGCUUUUAAAUUAAGCAUGGUGCUUAGGUUAAACAACCUUCCUUAAUCUGAUUAGACAUGGAGUCUAGUUCGGUUAUUGAACUAAAAACUGCUUGUGUAGACAUUGGUAUAUUUUGUCGGACUAACCCCUGCAGAAAAACUUUCAAUAUCAAUUUGGGAAGUCCUGAGAUAAACUCACAUUGGAGACAAAGAGAGAGACACAUGAAGGUUAACAAUUUGCACAAGGAAGACAUAGCUCAUUCAUCAUAGAGAGAUGAUCCAUGGAACAAGACAAAGAGUGCCACAAACACGAUGCACAACCGCUAAGAAAGGAAAGCUUCCACAAGGUGAUACUGUACCAUCACUCUUCAAGUAAGGUAACAUCUUAAGAUAUGUGACUAUCACUUUUAUAAGCUUCUCCUUGGUUCUGGCGUUCACAUAAAAUAAAGAGACAAACAUGUAUGAUUUGUAACUCCAAAUUAACCAAACCAAUUAAUUCAACAUGUUUAGUCCUUUAAUCUUUGUUCUUAGUACUACCUUCAUGAUCCCACACUCCUAAUCUUAUAAGCUAAAAUGUUGCACAUUUCAAUCUUUGGAAGAUAUAAACAAAACAUAAAUAUAGAUAGAUUAUCUUUCCAUUAGGUUGAGCAAUUUGAUCUGACAAAUGUUUCAAAUGCUUCACUCGUGAUCCAUCAACUUUGUCUUGCUCACUAUGCUUAAGGUUAGAGAAGAACAAAUACACUUUUGGUUCCAUUGGUGUUUUUCACUAAUAGGGCCCAUGCACUUGAUCUCCGCCUUGUCUCUAUGAGCAGGUACACUUCGAGCAAAACCUGAAGGAGUUUUACAACUCCUAGACUCCACCAAGUGAAGGACUUGGAUCUACAAGCACAAACACACUGAGCAGGAUGCUGCCAAUGCCACAUCUCGAUCUGCUGGACAAACGAAGAACAUUGGUGACACCGUAUCAAGAAGUGCAGAUGUCAAGGCCCACACCUAAUCAAAUGAUGCACCUAAAGGAUGAACACAGUGAGAAGUCUCGUCCAGAAGACUUAAAACAUUGGAUCCUUGCCGGAAGAGGUCAAGAUCGUUGACUCAAGUCGCCUUUCCUGAUCAAGAAGGACGACCCUGGUGUUCCAAGCGUCGAGUGCACAAUCAACGGAUACUCUUUUCAGAAGACACUCUACGACACCGGAUCUGACGUCAACAUAAUGGCCGCAGUCACUUAUCAGCUCCUGCAUGGAACCAUGCCCCUACAACCAACAUACAUUCAGCUCCAGAUGAUUUUUAGGUCAUUGACAUGGAAGAAGACGAGUAAUCCAUCCAUCAUCCUUGGAAGAUCUUUCUUCAACACUAUCAAAGUUAUCAUCUAUAUUGGAACCGGAGAAGUCCACAUGCACUUCCCCUCUGAGAAGGUACGCCACUACUUUAAUGAUUCUAACUAUAUAGUUGAAGAUUCUAAGCAGAUCAGGAUGAGAAGAAGGCGACGCAACCGAAACCAGAGGAGGCAAAUCAUCAAGGAUGGAUGGGAAGACUACAAAGGAGAUGUAAUAAGGUCCAAAGAUAUACAUCUUGAACAGGAUUGUCCAGAGGAGACUGUAGCACUAAAUCAGGUGUAGAUAGAGAAGAGAGUUGUACUAGAAGAGGAGGCGCCGCCGGAAUCCUAGGACGACUCAAAACACAAGGAGUCCCGUUCGGAGGACUUAAAAACGCCGAACGUUGUGCCAAGAGGUAAACUUGGUAGUUGUCACCUUCCCUUCAAUUAUUUAUUUUCUUUAAAUAGCUUGUUUAGUUAAUCGGGUUCAUACUAUCUUGAAAAAAAUAAAAAUGUUAAAAAACAGUAAGCCCCAUGUGAGUAUACGAGUGGCAUAAAACCCAUAAGUACAUUCACUAUGGUGGCAUAAAAAUAAAAUAAAUAUUUUUUCUGCUCUAUAAAAAAUGAAAAUAUAAAAAUAAGGUUGUGAUCCUACCAAAGAGAGUAACAUUUAUUGAGGAGGCUCAACAUGAUAAAGGCAAGAUAUUUAUGCUAACACUUAACCAGUUCCACAAAGCUUUGUUGUCUAUUUGAGUUCCACAGAAUUCAAGGAUCAAAGAAGACUAGCCGACGGAGGAUAUAGUAAUCGCUGUCAGGGUACUACCGACAUUCAAAUACAUCUGUGUCACCUGCUAGCUACAUCAGAAGAAAUUACGUCAAAAUCCAGCUUGGCGGAGAGCACCCCUAUUUAUCCAGCUAAGUGUUUCUACUCGCGUUUAUACUUUACUCAAAUAAUAAAAAGAUGCAUAAUCAUGAAAACCCAAAUAAAAAUUUUGUGCUUAUAUAUAUCUUUGCUUAGUUUGCUAAAUAAAUAAAUAAAGUGUCUGAACUUAAAUGAUAAACUCUUACAUGGAUAUAAUAAAUAGUUGCUCUGCCAUGUACCUAGUUUUCAAAAUUGAGCUCUCUCUCAAGUUUAGGCAUAACUGUUAUAAUUUAAACCUGCUCUAAACCUGAACUUGUAGGAAGAGUACUUGAUCUAAAGUCCAAGUCAUUAACGGAUAUGAUAUGGAAAGGUUGAGCUGCUGUUUAUCUGUUUCUAGAGUUGCUAGAAUUAUGGAGAAUUUUAUCUUUGAAAAUCUUUAAAAUAACACAUGAUGAGUUCCUGUAUGAUGAGAGUUUAAAAUCCUACCACAGCCACAUAUACAUGCUUAUUAGACUAUGAACCAUACAUUUACUUUUUACUGCUUAUUAGCAUUGAGUGUGGUCAAGCUGUGUAGACCCUUAGGAGCUUGUUAUACAGUUAAAAUCAAGAUCCACUUGCACGUUCACUCAUACAUGCUACUUCUACUCCGGAAGUGCGCAUCCACAUACAUCCACUCAAUUCCAUGUCCAGAUUCACCUAAAAUUAUUCUACUCCUAAUCCGGGAGAGAAUAGCCAAAAACAUUCUCUUAUUUCUAUUUUUCCCUAUGAAAUAAAUGCUCGAGUUAUCUUGGUUACUACCACUUGCUAUAUUAUUUCACGAGAUGAGUGCUUUAAAAAAAGAAGAGAAAGAGAAAAAAAUACGAGGAAAUAAAAAGGGGCAAGUGCCCGGAACCUCGAAAGAAAAGAAAAAGUGAGACGAGAGGUAAAAAUAGACAAGUGUCCGACACUAGAAUUAGGGAUACAAGAUACCCACCUGAGAAAAAAGAAAAAUAAAAUAUAGAGCAUCUCAUUCUCCUCAAAAAGCUUCAAAGUGCAAGAAAGGUAUGUAUCCCCUAAAAAGAGCAAAAAUAGAAUUAGACUUUCACCAUUGUUGUCACCAUCAUCACCAUACACCAUUCAUUCGCCACACAUGCACAUCUUGAUUUGACUUAUUGACUUGUUUCUCUGGAUCCAUGGUUUGACUAUGCAAUAAAUGUCUUGUAAGUAUGUAUUAUCUGUCUCCCACCUAUGAGCUCCAGAUACCAAAACCUUAUUAGAGUAGGAUUAGAGAGAAGGCAAUGUCACUAUGCCUCGUACCACAAAUACCACAUACUUUGAAAGAAGGCAUAUACCAUCACUGCCUUGGUAAGGAUCCAGAAAUACCACAAAAGAGAGACUAGAGAGAGUCAUACAAGGAAUCUCUGAGUUUUAUUUUGAAAAUCUGCAAAAACUCCAGAGCUAUAGUUAAUCAAAGAACAAGAGACAUGGCGCUUGACUUGACCGUUCUAUCUUAACUGCUCAAGACACAAGUGACGGUUGCAAGCCCCAUGGUGAAAGGUAAAAUGAGUAAGUUUUAAGUCUUAACAGUUUACUCUAACUCAGAGAUGAGAUCUUGCUUGAACGCAUGUGUACUUUUAAGGCAUGAAACCACUGCAGAAAGUCUUCAGUCCAUCCUUGCUUAGGGACGAACAAGAGGUAAGUUUGGAGGAGUUUGUUGACGGUCCUUAAGUACCAAAUAUAAUCAUCAAAUAAAUAAAGAAAAGGAUCCAAACGCAACCAACACCCAGACUUAGGGUUUUAACUGACAGAAUUCCACGAGUUUUGGUGUUUGUCUAUUUCUGCAGGGGGUUAUCAGGAAAUAUGGAGAAAAGGCCCACACGUCGGGUUUACAUAGAGAUAUUAACGUGCCGCGUAAUUUUCUAUCAUCUAGAAGAGUCCAGAAGCCACGGGAACGAACGGGAGGCCGAACGGGCCCGGGGGCAGGGCGCCCGCCCUCCCCCCUUGGUACAAGCACCAAUCACAGAAUGGAGAACACCAUUACAAAGAUCUCGUCGAGCUGAUCGAAAUGCAUAUAUUAUUUGCUAUAUUUGGAGUUCGGAAUCAAGAGAUAUUAAUAAAAGAAGGACUCCACAUAAAAGAGCUGCGGGAUUAAUCGGGCCCAAAUCACAUUUUGGUCCAUUAAGGCCUAUGUGCAUUUUAAUGAGAUAUGGUUGAAAGUUUAGUACCACAUCGCCUGCUGAACCAAAAAGGCUCAAAGGAGGAGGACUAUAUAAGCAAGGCCCCUGGCCCCUGGAGGAGAACACAUCAAUAUAGAGUUGAGAGGUGCCCUCGAAGGAUAACCUUUCCUCUAUAGAGAACUAGGGCUUAGCAUCCAAUGUGAGAGUAGAACUAGUUCUACUAGAUUGAGAGAGAUAGAGUGGAGGUGUAGAUUGGAGGAAGCCCGGCCUGUCGGUGUCUACUCCGAAGUUGUACCUACAGGAUCAAGUCUCCUAACCCGAGGCUUGCUCCUAGGAUUCUUCAGUAUUUCGACUUCUAAAUUCUAGUAAGUUCUUUGUUUUAUUGUUCUUUGGUUUAUGAGUUUACUUUAAUCUCUUUCGGUUGAGUUUAGAGUAAUCAUUGCUAGCGUAAACGUAGUGUUUGGGCUAGGGUACUCAUAGAUAUCCCCUGACUAGCUGGACCGUGGUAGUAGCGAGGAACGUGACAUUUCCGAGUUACCUUUGUAGCCCACAUCACGUUAGCAGGAUCGAUAGGGUUUAUAGGUGCGGGUCGAACAUCCUUUGUGGUGUCUAGAUUCCGUGAGCCUCCCCAGUAGAACAGUAGGUCAUCCUUACCAAGGUUAGAACGAGACUACAGUUGUAGUAUUCUCUAUACAUCGCUCACAUCGAAUCACAUUCUUUGUAGCCUAAAGGGUAAUAGCAAUAGAUUUGGUUAGUCAGAUGCACGCUUUCUCCCAGUGGAAAAAAUAUAAAUACGAUACUCUGGAUAACCUCCCGGGUGAAGUGCUCACCGAUAUCCGUGCGCUUGCGGAUCAUUUCCUGAUGGCGUUACCAAAUAUCAACACUGCCGAUGAGGCAUUGAAUAAAGAAAUGACUUGAUGAUGGCCAUCAUUACUCCCAGGGUGAUCCCAGUGAACACUUUCGGUAGCGGGAAAAAUACCAGCGCCACUUAUGAGUUCUACAACCCAUCGUCAUUAGCCUGCCUAUUGGCCUUUGGUCAACUACCAAUCAAGCUUUGUUAUGCCGAUGUGAUCAAGCCAAGGGAACCAAUUACCAGCGGUUUAGACUAGAUCAGGGUAGCUCAGCUCCCUCCCAAUGCCGAUACUACAAAUAUCAAUCUAUCCAACUGGGUGCCGGCCUCUUUCAUUACGUAGUCGUAUAAGUCAUGGUAGCAAGAAUGGAAAGGACAAUUGUUUGUUGUAUCGGCCCAUAUAUAUUGGAACAUGAUCGACCUUGAGCAUGAGAUUCUCGAUGACAUAGUGAGUCUCUUCCUAACACUUAGUCUUUUCUUUACUCCUAACUUCAUCAGUGACUGACUCUUCUAUUUGAUAGGUUGAUGACCCAGCACCCCCGAUGAGUAGAAGUGGACGACCGUUCGAUCUUCGACCAGUGUCCCCGGUCUCUUUGAUCGGCCAUGAUGCCCCCAGCUUGGCAGCUCUGAUGCACCGAGGAACUCGCCUCAAGAAAAUGACUACUAAGCGCUCAAAGGCCACUCCAUUGGUCGCAGCCGCCACCUUAGCUCAAGCCUUCAAGGUAAAAAUCCUUAAUUACUUCAUCAUGCUGAUUUCAGCCCAUACUUACACUAUCCUUUCAGGGUGUAUCAAUCACAACUGGAAUAUCAUCGGUAACUUUGUCCCGCAUCGGAUACUUUUACUCUUGAUGAAUUUUGGGAAGUAUUUUUUUGCCUUUAUACUCAACUUAUAAGACUUUUAUGCUUUAUGUGUCUUGCAGCAACAAACCAGUGCAUCGGCAAAAGCCCAAGAUGUUCAAUCAUUGGGUGCCGAUGCCCCCCAGCUAGCAGUCACCAAAGCUCAACCCAAGCGGAAGACUCCGACAAGCACCAAGACUCAGCCAAAACGGCAGAAAGCAACACCAUCCUCUCCACCUCAACCAGCACCUCAAAGUCGAGCCGAACCGGCCGAUGCACCUGAGCAGACAAUUGACCCGUCUGACCAAGGCACGUCAUCGGCCAUUGUUCCUAAGCAAACGACUAUCGCUCCCACUCAAGGUAUAAUAUUGAUCAUCCAUGAAGUUACUACCGAUGAACUUUGUAAAGAAAUUAUCAUCAUUCUCGGCACUCAACCGAUUUUGUAGCUGAAGAUAUCCCAUCGGCAGAUUCAACCGAUCAAGGCACAAUCCAAGUCGUAUCUCCCGGCCAAAGGCAAGAGAUUGCCCUAAAACAAGUAAGCCAUCUGGUUUGACCGAUUCUGCAUUAUCCAUACUUAACCCUGACCAACUUAUCUCUUUUCUGUUUUUUAGGAACAAGACUCCCCUAAUAGUCUAUUCUCUUUCGCCAUUGACAUCUCCGAUGACGAAGGGGAAGAAGCAAGCUCCUCACUAGCGCUCGAGGCCGUAUCGGUAGAAGUCAAAUCAAAGCUGGAAGACCUGUUGAGUUUGCUGCGACAAAAUAUAGCUCAGCUAGUGGAUGACUCAGACCUAGUGAAAAUCAUUUUCAAAGCAAUCUGUGGUCAAGUCCCUACCGAUGUUGAAUAAGCGCUCUUCCAAGCUGCCCAUUUGGAGAGUCGCCAGCUUCAAUAUCAAAAGGCCACUCAACGUCUUGCCGAUAGAGCUGCCGAAGCUCAUCUCAAGGAAGAGAUGCUACAAGUGAAAUCCAUUGCCGAUGAGAAGCACAAAAGCAUCGACAAUUUGCAAGUUUUAGGCACUGAAUUGAAGCAAAAGAUUUUAGUUCAGUCGGCAAAGAGAGAAGUUCUGCUAGCUGAACUCAAGUAGGUCGAAGAAGCAUUGACUUAGGCUAAGCAAGAAGAAAGCCAGCUGCCCGAUAUGAUUGAAAGUCUUCAACAAGAAAUGGACUCUCAAGCCCACAAAGCCCUGCUAAUAAAGAAGAAGCUCAAGCCAGUGGAGGGCUUAGCCGAUGAAGACACCAAAGAGAUAGAGGAAGCCAAUCAAAUUCGCCUGCGUGCGAUAUCGGCUAUCCAGACUUUGCUAUUUUUGAAAAUUUCUUCAUUGGCAGUACGUCGCAUCAGCUGUUCUAUAAGCACUAGUAUUUUGUCCAGCCGAUAGGAUUGUUAUUGGCACUUAAACUUCUUAUGCAUCGACCCAGUUACUGGGGUAGUACUUCUUCAAAUACUUUGCAUUUAAGGCUCUAGGAAACUCAACCCCUUUGAGGGUUUCUAGGAUGUAUGCAUUGUCAGGAGGAGAUCGACUUAUCUGAUAGGGACCUUCCCAAUUAGGAGACCAGUUACUGAAUUUUGAAUUUUUAGUCCCAAUCUAUAGAAUUAAUUUCCAAACUAAGUCUCCAUCAGCAAACUCCUUAGCUUUUACUCUUUUAUCAUACCAUCUAGCUACUCUCCUCUUAUUUUCUUCAAUGCUAAUCAGAGCUUUCAAACGAUGACCUGCCAAAUCCUCUAAUUCAUCUUUCAUCAGAGUAGUAUAAUCAUCAGUAGUUAACUGAUCUUGAGAGAAUAUCUGCCUAGAGCUAGUUUGAAUUUCACAAGGUAAUACUGCAUCGUGCCCAUAUACCAGCUGAUAAGGUGACACCUUAAUUGCACCGUGACAUGCCAUCUGAUAGGACCACAGGGCUUCAUUUAACACUAUAUGCCAUCGUUUAGGGUUUUCUUCAAUCUUACGCUUGAUAAGUUUAAUGAUCCCUUUAUUAGAAGCUUCGGCCUGCGCAUUAGCUUGAGCAUAAUAAUGAGAAGAAUUUAAAACCUUAAUUCCCAUACGGAUUAUGAAAUCAUCAAACUCCCCCGAUGUAAACAUAAUACCCUGAUCGGUAGUAAUCGUCUGAGGAAUACCAAAUCAGUAGACAAUAUGCUCCUUUACAAAAUCAAUCAUGUUGGCCGAUAUCACCUUUUUCAAAGGAAUUGCUUCAACCCACUUAGUAAAAUAAUCGGUGGCAACAAGUAUAAAUUUAUGCCCUUUGCUCGAUGGCAGAUAUAUUUGACCGAUUAGAUCAAUAGCCCAUCCUCGGAACAACCAGGGUUUAAUUAUAGGGUUCUUGGCCGAUGUAGGUGCUCUUUGAAUAUUGUCAAAUGUUGACGGUAUUUUCACUAUAAUUUUCGACCACUAAAACCGUCAACAAUAGUUAAGUUUUGGGGACAACACCAAGCAAGUAAGUAGUGACAUAGGUACAAUUCACUUGGUUCCACAUGUACAUAUCAUUAUUUGGAUGCAGGUGCAAACAACCACUAAUCAAGGCUGAUCAAGCUCAAAUGAAGCAAAGAUGAUCAAGAACCAAAACCACUGCAGAUCAAUAAAAGAUUGAAGAUGACAAGUGGGGACAACAUUUGGAGCAAGGUGGUGGGCCAACCCCCCUAAGGGUAGGUCGGCCGACCCACCUUUGGUGGUCUCCCACUUCGCCCACACUCCCACCGACCUUAGCACCUUCUACAAGCUUGGUGGAGCCCACGUGGAAGCAAUAGGUCGGUCGGCUGACCCUGACAUGUGGGCGCCCAAGGUCGGUUUGCCUCCACUGACCUUCCACAUGCCAAACAUGUGUGGAAAUACCUCCACCCUUGGUCUAUGGCGGUGGGUGUUGACGGUCCUUAAGUAUCAAAUAUAAUCAUCAAAUAAAUAAAGAAAAGGAUCCAAAUGCAACCAACACCCAGACUUAGGGUUUUAUCUGACAGAAUUCUACGAGUUUUGGUGUUUGUCUAUUUCUACAUGGGGUUAUCAGGAAAUGUGGAGGAAAGGCCCACACGUCGGGUUUACAUAGAGAUAUUAACGUGCCGUGCAAUUUUCUAUCAUCUAGAAGAGUCCAGAAGCCACGGGAACAAACGAGAGGCUGAGCGGGCCCGGGGGCAGGGCGCCCGCCCUCCCCCCUUGGGCGCCUGCCCAGGUACCUCAGCCAAUCAGGCUCCACCUCGCGGAUUAUGCUCCACCGACCUAAGGGAUCAAGGAAAACCGUGCGAUUAAGGUCGGUUUGAUCCGACGGCCCCGUGGCCCCUCGAGGAGGCAAUUCUCACUAUUCAUUAGCAUAUUUUCCAGAGAGGAUUCAUAGAGAGAGGUUCCUUAGGGUUUCCCACCUCAUAGGGCUUAGUGUAACACCCUAGGUGUUAAGCAUGCACUUAGUCUUACCAAAGCAUUCAUAAGCAUUCUCAUCAAGCAUAGCAUCACAUAAGCAUGUCAUCCAUCUAAAAUAUGAUUUUGUGUACUUUAUUCCAUGUGAUUUAAAUGUGUUAAAAAUAUUAUGCUUGCUUCUAAAAUUAUGAAAUAUUCAAACUAGGUUGAAUGUUGUGUAAGAAGAUUUAAGAAUAUUUUUGUGCAAUUUUUGGAGCCAUAGAAUUUGAGAAAUGGAAUUUAUACAAAAAUCCCCAAAAUGAAUUUAUUUGAAAACCUAGAGCUAGUUUUAAUCUGUAAGUCAAAUUCUAUUUGGAAUUUGGUCUUGCUUAUUAAAACAAAGUUGUAGGGUUUUUGUUUUGGAACAACUUUACUGUUGGGGGAAAAGGGUGAAAAGGAUUUUUUUAAAUAGUCCAAAUGAAUUUAGAAAGAAAUUGAGAAAAGUAUUUCAAAAAAAAAGGGGACAGGCGCUGCUGGGCCGACCCGCCUCCCUUUCGGCCCAGCUGGACAGCGCGGCCCGCUCCCCCUCUCCUCUCUCCCGCGUGCGCGGCGCCCGCCUCGCUCCACCCGGCACCGGCCACGUGGCGGCCGUACGCCGGCGUUGGACGCGCCGCGGCCGGCCACCUCCACCAUCCUGGUCGGGACGCCGCCCCGCGCCCCCAGACCACUCCCUCCAUUCUGUCGCCUGCCUCCCCCUCUCUCUUCUUCCUCCCCGCGCACGCGCAACAGCAGCAGCAGCUCCGCCCGCGCCAUUGCCGGAGAAAGCUCCGCCGCUCGCCGCCGGUCGCACCAGAGCUCCAACCUCGACGCCAAGAGCACCAGCGCACUCGCCGUCGCCGCGGUAAGCCCCUGCGUACGCUCUACCGAGGUGAGAAGAAGCCGUGCACCGUGAAUCGCUCGCCGGAGUUGCUCCGACCUCACCGGAGUGCUCCGCCGCGACGGAUCUUGCGAUAUCCUGCCUAGUUUCGCUCGCUCUUUAGCGCGUUAGGUCCGUAGCUCGAUGGGGAAGCUCGGAGGAGCUUUUGCGCGCGCUCUACCGCACCGGAGCGGCCUGGCCAUGGCGAGCAGCGCCGCCAUGCACGCUCGUCGGAGGUGUUCCGGUCAUCCUCCGGCCAAUCCGAGGGUACCCCUGGAUGCGCCUCGCUGUGGGGAGCACGCUGGUACUCACCCCGUGGCCGGUGACCUCGCCGUCGGCGAAAGCCGGCCGGCCGAAGUUGGCCGGAGCUCUGCAUGGCUAACCUGUGGGGCCCCGACCCCUGGAUCCCACCUGUCAGCGCCUGUGCGGGUGUGGAUCCGGGUGAAUCUAGCGUUUUCCGUCGGUUUUCUUAAAUAAAGGUUUUCUAGAAAUUGAUUUAAAACUUGUAAAAUCCAUAUCUUGAGUUCUACAGCUCCAAAUCUGGUGAAAUAAAUUUUGGUGUGCUCUUUAUUCUCAGAUCUACGGUUUGAUGUAAUUGCAUGUCAUGUUUGAAUAACUUUUCUGUAUAAAUAUAUUUAAUCCAUGUUUUUGCUGAAUUUGGAAAAUGCAUAGUAAUUAAAAUAUGACUCGGAAAAAUGUGAAACUUAUUUUGUUGGCUCUGCAUGUAUGUUUAAUCACUGGGAAAAUGUUGCUACACAUUAUUUGCUGAAUAAAUGAAUUUAUGAUGAUUUAAAUGCUUGCAUGGCAGUGGUUUAUGAUUUUUAAUAAAUAAUCGGAUCAUGCAAUUAAUCUGGAAAUUUUUGUGGGUAUUUCUUAUGAUAUUAGGAAAACUAUAAAAAUAUGAAAUCUGCUAUUUGACACUUAUACCAAAGUAGAGUAAUUGUACUUGCCUUUAUUACUUAAUCUUGUGAUUUUUGUAGCUCAAAAUAAGUGUCCAAAAAUUAUGGAAAAUUUAUGGUGGACUUUAUGCUUGAUUGGUAGUCUCCUGUAACUUUUGUGGAAUUUAUUGAUAAACAGAACUACAUGCUAUUUUGAUGGGCCAAGAAAUGAAUAAAGAAAUUAUGAAUUGUUUUAUGUAGAUUAAGUAGAAUAAAAGGGGAUUUGGUGUAUCUUUGAAGUAUCUUGUGAGUUGCUGGUUACACUCGAAAAAUAAUUCUGUAAGAAAGAAGGAAAUGGAUGCUUAGUGUAAUUACAUGUUCUUGGAUGAUGUUGACUACCUUGUAAAGAGCAUGACCAAUUAAAUCACCUAUGCAUCAUGUCCUGGUCAUUUGGUACUUUCUCAUACAAGCAUCCACUCGGGCAUCUCGCACUCCACUCAUGAGCACACAUGCAUCAUACAGGCUCGCAGGAGAACGAGGUGGGACCCGAGGAGCCAGAGGAGACCCAGGAGCAGGAACCUCUAGGAGCACCGGAACCCGGAGAAGAGCUGCAGGAGUGUCCGGAUCACAGACCAGCACGUUUGAGAAAGGCAAGCCCCAGAGCAUUCUAAGUCUCCCUAUUCUCGCUAACUUACAUGAUAUACUAUGCUUGUUCUACUAUGUUGCAUGUACGUGAUAGGAAUUGCUUGAACCAUUGAUGCAUAUGUACUCCUUGCUGUCCCUACUCGUUUAUCUACCUUGUCCCAUGUAGAUAGGCACGGAGUCUAUGCUUAGCUUGCUUAGUCCGGUAGAAGUCGGGUGAUUUCCUGUCACCUGCGAGAUAUAGGUGGGUACCUGCUUGAUUUAAGCAGUGAUUGCUUUGGGAAAGGAUAACCAAGUGUGGAAUGAAAAUUUGAGACCGGGCAGGGUCUUAUGGUGGGUUGACUGUAGUGCCCCUGCCUGUGUCAAUUAAGGACUGAUCGUUGACGGCCCUCUUGUCAUGUUGAACGCAUGCCCCACAUUUAGCUAGAAGGAUAAGUCGUUCCGACCGCGAAACCUGAGCACUAUCCGGGCCGGGAAUCGACCCGAUGUACGCGCUGUAUUGGUGAUGGUUGAGGAGAACGACGAGGGUGCGGCGCGCAACCUUGGUAUACCUUGGAUACCUCGGUCGCCGGAACGGUCCUCGGGUACGGGCGGUGCCUGUCGAACCCGCGAAUUGGUCCUGGAUAGUGCAAUACGGUGAUCUGUAGCUCACUUGAUCAGUGAGUGUGGUUUGUGUGGGGAAUAAACUCGCAAGCUGGUUAGAAAUCGAUUCGAAUCGCCAUCGCUCCUGGAUAGUGAGCACUUGACAUGAGCUUUGUCCUCGUAGUAAGGACUAUGGAACACUUGGGCUAUAAUGAUAAAUGGUUGCAUGAAUGCUAUGAUGAGGUACCAUCAUAUUACUAUACUUGCUUGUAAUAGUACAGGUGCAAACCUAGAGAAUAGGUAAUGAUACUUCAACUUGAGCUAAUUAAAUGAAGGAGGACCUCUAUAGAAUUUUGGUCAACAGAAGAGUGCUUUUAUGCAAAAAGGUUGUCAGCUACCCCACUAUAUAGCCUUCAUGAUCCUUGAUAAGUCUUUAUUUUUGAGUUAUGACGGGUAAGUCUAGCUGAGUACAUUCUCGUACUCAGGGUUCUAUUCCCAAGUUAUUUUGCAGAUGGUCAAAUGUACUAUGGUUAUUGCAUCCUCUGCCUGUACCCAGCUAUGGGCGAUGACUAGACCAAGGGCGAUGGUCACCCUACCUCCUCUUUUGCUUUUGUGGGAAUGACUGAAUUAUGGCACUGUAUCAGACUAAGUAUGUGUGUGUUAUUUUCGAACUAUGAAGCUUCCGCUACUUAUGAACUUGGCUUGUAAUAACUUUAAGCACUCUGAUGUAUCGUAUGAAUGUUUUCGAAACUGGAUGUAACUAUGGAUGGUAACCGCUGAACUUAUUACGAUCUUGGCUGUAUGUACGACAUGUGGUUUGAAAUCCUUCGAGAUUUCACGGACUACCGGGAUUAUAUGGGCUUAAGCUCGAUGGUUUGACUAUGCAAGUGGUCACUAUUAGGCUUAAUCUCUUAUAAUUUGGGCGGUUCUGUUACACUUAGCAUCCAAUGUGUGAGUAGAAUUAGUUCUACUAGAUUGAGAGAGAUAGAGUGGAGGUGUAGAUCGGAGGAAGCCCGGCCUGUCGGUGUCUACUCCGAGGUUGUACCUGCGGGAUCAAGUCUCCUACCCCGAGGCUUGCUCCUAGGAUUCUUCAGUAUUUUGACUUCUAAAUUCUAGUAAGUUCUUUGUUGUAUUGUUCUUUGGUUUAUGAGUUUACUUUGAUCUCAUCUCGUAGAGUUUAGAGUAAUCAUCUCUAGCGUAAACGUGGUGUUUGAGCUAGGAUACUCAUAGAUAUCGCCUGUCUAGCUGGACCGUGGUAGUAGCGAGGAACGUGACAUUUCCAAGUUACCUUUGUAGCCCAUAUCCCGUUAGCAGGAUCGAUAGUGUUUAUAGGUGCGGGUCGGACAUCCUUUGUGGUGUCUAGAUACCGUAAGCCUCCCCAUUAGAACAGUAGAUCAUCCUUACCAAGGUUAGAAUGAGAGUGCGGUUGUAGUCUUCUCUAUAAAUCGCUCACAUCGAAUCACAUUGUUUGUAGCCUAAAGGGUAGUAGCAAUAGAUUUGGUUAGUCAGAUGCACGCUUUCUCCCAGUGGUAAAAAUAUAAAUACAAUACUCUGGAUAAUCUCUUGGGUGAAAUGCUCACCGAUAUCCGUGCGCUUGCGGAUCAUUUCCUCAUGGCGUUAACAAAUAUCAACAAGCAUUUCUGGCGCCGUUGCCGGGGAGAAAGACGGUUUGCUGAGAUAACUUUGAGUCUUGCUAUUAUCUUGUAUUAUACUUUUAUACUUUUAUUCUUUUAUCUUUUUAUUUUUUCCAUCUUUAUGGAUAACUCAAAUUCCACAUCUAUUAUUGAAUUUUUUGAACCUUCGGAGACCAGCCAUAGACCAUGGGGGUCAACAAGUGCUUUCUUUGCCCCUAAUUAUGAUAUGUGUCCGGAGAUAAUUGCAAUAGAUCAAAACCAACCCUUUUCUAUAGCCGAGGUCCUAUCUUUCAAUCAAGAAUAUAAUGAACUUUUAGCUACACCUAGGGAAUCUUUUAAUCUUUCUAUAAAUUCUGGUUUAGACCUAGCCCUACAAGACCAUGUUUUUCCUCGAUAUUUUCACAUUGGUCUAAAUCAUAUAACUUUUGGUAGAGUUUCUCUUUCUUUAUCUGUUAGCAAAGCAAGGUAUGUCUUCAUUCGUGGACAUCCUUCUUGCACUAGUCUUCACAUAAAAAUCCUAGAGAUAGAGAAGGAAUCAUCUCCCAGACGAGGAAAGGAAGUUUCAAUAGCUGAUUUCCAAACAUUUCAAUCCCAUGAUUCGGCUAUCCAACCCAAACUAGUAGUGCUCCAAAAUCAUCUCAGGGAAGAAGAAAUUCUACCUUUGGAAAUUCAUUUUGGGAUGAGCUUAAACAUCCUGCUUCAUAAGAGACCUUUGAGUGCAUAUAGUCUGAACCUUCAUAAGGAGGGAUCUCUUAGAAAGCAUCUCAAAUCCAAUCCCUCUGAUGGAUAUCUAGAAAGACUCAAGGAUGGCAUCUUAAGUGAUGCAAUAGAAGGAGAGCGAAGCCAUUUAGAAGACAAUCUCAUCUUCUCCCCUUCUACGCCCACUUUUGAUGACUCAUUUGAACCUAUCUUUAAACCCAUCCUUGAGCCUAAUAAUUUCUACUAUGCUCUUUCUCUUGAACCUCCCGAUGAUCCUAUGAAUCUCUCUAGAUAUCCCAUGCAUAAGAGUCACCAAGACCAUAAGGAAGAUUGAGAAGAGCAACAUCAAUGGCUAGAGGGCAUUAAAAAUCCAUGUGCUAUCACCAUUGAAUGGAUGGACAAGGAAGAAGCCUUAAUGGAUUCUGACUUUGGCUCAAUUUCAAAUGGUGAGUUCUUGACUCCCUUUGAAAAUGAGAUUCAUCCAACUACAGAGGACAUAGGCGAGACCAAUCUAGGAGAAACUCCGAACAUUCAGAUUGGAGACGAAGAUAACAUUAAUGAGCAUGGAAUUUAUUUCAGAGCCACUUCGUUUACUCCAUGCUCAUAUGCAGCAUCUUCCCAAUCUAUUGGUCUCUCCAACAUCACCACAUUUGAGAUCUCCAACCCCCUAUUCCUUUCUAUUUAUAAAAACUUUAAAAGGGCGGUUGUCAAUGCAUAUGUCUAUAAUAAAUAUUGCAGAUCUCGUUGAGUUGAUCUUGAUAUAGGUCAGCGUUGGAGGGGAAACCACUUCGACAACUUAAAUUGAUGGCUUCCUAAGGACAAGCUUAGUAUCCUAAAAUAAGCACUGAUCAAAUCGUAACAUGAGCUUUUAAUUAUUUGCAACAUUACCUUGUGUAUUAAGAAUAUAAGGAUAAUUGUAAAAAUAUUCCUUCGGGUAUUCUUGUCACUAACCUUUCUAGGAUUGGAGCAAGAAGAUCGGAUGAAUGACAAGUACAAGGUAUGUCCAACCAAUCAUCAUACAACAUUGAAUUAAAUUCAUCCAAACUUGAAUUUUGCAAAAUUCAAGCUUUGGGAAGUACUUUACAUAAAAACAUCCUUUGCCAUAUUGCUAUGUUGGUUGUCCCUACCUUUGAGUCAUGCUUAAUUUGUUAAAUACUAAUCACACUACUUCAUCUCCACUUGAGUAGAUCUCUAUAAAUGCUCUCAUGCUACAUUUAUUUGCUUUAGUAUAUAUCUAGGUUUAGAGUAGUUUCAUUUAUCUCUUAAAUAAGCAUGGUGCUUAGUUUAGGAAUGAUGAUCAUACUUCCAAGGGAUUUUAAUUUAAGCAUGGUGCUUACGUUAAAAUGCCCUCCUAAAUCAAAUUAGACAUGGUGUCUAGGUUGAUUUUUGAGCCGAUAGUAUGCUAUAGUAGACAUUGGAUAUUUUGUUGGACUAACCCCUACAGGAAAACUUUCAAUAUUGACUUGGGAAGUCCUUAGAUAAACUCACUUUGGAGACAAAGAGAGAGACACAUGAAGUUUAACAAUUUACACAAGGAAGACAUAGCUCAUAAGAGAUGAUGCAUGGAGGGUGCCACAAACAUGAUACACAACCGCUAAGAAAGGAAAGUUUCCACAAGGUGAUACUAUACCAUCACUCUUCAUGUAAGGUAACAUCUUAAGGUACUUGACUAUCACUUUUAUAAGCUUCUCCUUGGUUCUCGUGUUCAUAUGGAUAAAAGAGACAAACAUGUAUGAUUUACAACUCUAGAUCAACCAACCCAAUCGAUUCAAUAUGUUUAGUCCAUCCACCUUUCUGAUCCCACACUUUAACACUCCUAGUGUUAGCUUGCAUGUUAACCAUGAGCAUUGCAUCAACAUAAGCAUCAUCAUCAUCACUCAUGAGCAUCAUACCAUGAUCACAUGCCAUUUACUACAUGUACUAUGUGAUUAAAUUGCUUGUGUGACUUGUUUUGAGUGACCUUAGUGUGUGACUAAUGCUUACAAAUGUUUAUUGUCUUCCAAAAUACUUUAAUCAUGUUUAGAACAUCAUUUGGAACAAAGUUCAUGUUGAAGGUUUUGGCCAAAUAUGCCCCUAAGUCAUUUUUUUUUGUGCAUAAGUCAUGGUUAACCCUAGAAUGACCUUUUUGACCCCCUAAACCUUCUUUCAAAGAUGCUUUAUGAAAGUAAUGUUAGAGACCUUCCAUGUCUAUGACACCUGAAGCAAAGUUGUAGAUAAUUUCAUAAGCUACAAAAGUUAUGUUGAUGACUUUUUAUGAAAAAGCUUAGAACACAUCCAAAAUUCACUCACAAGCCAAAAAUCAGGGCUGAUUGGGAGCCUUGUAGAUUGAAAUCCAGACCAAGUUAGGCUUUGAUCUUGUAAGCAAACUUGUAGAACUCAUGUAGCUCUAUCCAAAGGAUCAAAUCCAAGCCAAAACCAUCGAUUGAGCUGAGAGUAAAACGUUGUUGAAGAUCGGGUUUCAGUCACUGUUGGCGACGACUGAAUCGCGCGAUUCAGUUUCGUCAGUCACCGAACGGCCGACGCGUGGACGACCCGUGGCGGCCGUACGUCGACGGAGACCCCUCCUGUCAGCCCCGGCGCCUUCACUUGGACGCCACGACGCCACCCCGAGCCCCGGUCGUCCUCAUUUCGCCUCCCCAGCGCUCUCUCCCUUCUCCAUUUCGCUUCGGCGAGCUCCGCCGUGGAACGGCAGCUUUGCCCGAGCUCGCCUCGCCGCCUCCGGCCAAGCCAGCCUGCUAAAAGCUUCGCCAAAGCUUCCUCUACCUCGGCGCCACCUCCUUGGUCACGGUCGAGCACGUGUAAGUCAGCAUUGCCGAGCUCCGAGCUGUUCUCCCUCGCCGGAGUUCCGCCCGAGCUCACCGGCAACGUGGCCAGGCCUCUCUGCUCCACCAUUUUCCUUCAUUCUUAUUCCUAUCGCUUCCCCUUGACUCACUGAUACUCGGCGUGAAGCUCUACCGCGUCGCCAUUGCCCAGAUCCGCCAGCGUAACGCCGCGCAGCGCCGCCGCUCCGCCAUUCCCGACGGCGAGCACCCUAGAGUCUAGUAGAGCGCGGGUAAAGUAGGUCAACCGAGUCGCCUUGAUGAGAGGAACACGUAGAAUUGGGAAUCCUUCUGGGAUGUCUAAAAGUGAAUUGAAGACAAUUUGCUAAGCUUUCCAGAAAGUACUUACUUGCUUAGUUUGACCAACUGAUGCUUAAGUUAUGCCUGAAACUAGUGACAGGUUGGUUUGUCUACUAAACCAAUGACUGAGUAGUAGUAGCUAGGAUUUGUUUAACUUGUCUAUUUAGUCUCUCUACCAGAGAAGAAGUAUGCAUUUACUUGUUAUUCCAUGAUUCACUUAAUCUUAGGAGUUAUGCUCAUGUUAUACCUUGUUUUAUGUCCCUUUGGCUCUUCAUCAUGACAUCAUGCAUCAUAUGUGCAUUCUCUAUAUUCAUCUCCUUGUCAUGCAUACAUAGGUGUACCCAAGGGCGUGACGGUGUUGGAGUUCGAGCUGCCGGAGUCGGAAGGACAGCAAGGGGAGCUACCUCAAGGAGAUGAGGAGGAGAAGGACUUGCCGGAGUGCCCUGAUCACCGUCCCUCUACUUACGUCGAAGGCAAGCCCCGGAGCAUUAUAAGCCUCCUACUAUUUUAUUAUCAUGUUCAGCUAUCAAUUGACUAUGGUUAUAUAUUGUUGCAUUAAGUGGUAGGCGUUGAUAUGACACCCUUGCUGCAUAAUGACUACCUUGUCCACCUCAUAUCUCACCAAAGUAGGUCCAGGAUCGAAUUAAUGCUUAGCCAUGCUUAGCUCGGUAGAAGCCAGGUGAUUUCCUGUCACCUGCGAGAGUUAGGUGGAUGAUGAUCACGGUUGGCUAUAUUUGCUAUCGUGGAAUUAACCAUGAGCUAAUAAUGAACUUGAGACCGUGCGGGAUGAUGAUAGUGCAGCAACAAGGCAUGGAGGUCUUGGGUGUGAAUCUAUCCCUGUCUGUGUCGUUUAAGGACCGAAUCGCUGUACGUCCCCGUGUCAUGUUGAACGCAUGCCUAUCACUUAGUUGGCCGGAUAAGUCGUUCCGACCGCGAAGCAUACGAGUGCAACUCCGGCCGGAUACCCCGAUCUGGUUAAAGUGCGCACCCCGGUUGGUAGUAAGGAUGUGCGGGGAGUCAAUGGCGUAAGACCGAGGUGUCAGGUUAGAGUCCUGACCGUGGCAGAUUGGCGGUCCCUGGGGGUGCAGCGCCGUACGGACCCACGAAUUGGUCCGGAGUUGUGCUAAAGGUGAUCCGAGCUGCCGUCAUGAAGUAUGCUUGGGUGAGUGUUAGGAACACCCCUCCAGCUGGAUUGGAAUCGAUUCGAAUCGUCGUCUCUCCCGGAUUGUGAGAACUUGACUUGGGCAGCGGCAACGUAGAAUUCACUAAAUAAACUUAAUGGUUAUGAUGAGAAUGAUGAUUGCUAUGUGAUAAUCCGGAUAUGGUUAUUAUUGUGAUGCUUAAAUACUCAAGUGCAUACUUAGAACAGGUGCUAAUCUAGUGGAUAGUUGCUAAGUAAUGAACCUGCUGCUAAAAUGAUUAUAUAUGAGUUACUUACAACAAAGGCUUUUAUGCAAAAAGGUGAGUCAAACCAGUCCACAAAGAUCAGCCUUGCAUACUCCUUGGUGUCACUUUAUUUCUAGUUUAUGACGGGUAAGUCUAGCUGAGUACAUUCUCGUACUCAGGGUUUUAUUUACCCCUGUUGCAGAUGAUGUCCUUUAUCACGGCUAUUGGGCUAACUGCCAUCACCCGGCUGCGGAUGAUGAAUAGAUCAUGGGCGUGAUCACCUCCUUUAUCUUCAGUUAUGCUUUUGUUGGGACUUGACCAUGGAACUGGCAUGUAUUAUAAACUGAGUUGGUGUUGUUUCAAAACUACUUUGUUUCCGCUACUGCUAUGGUUUGUAAUAACCACUUUAAACUCUGAUGUGAUGUAAAACUAUGUUCUGUGAUGAAUGGUUGCAAUCUGUGAUGGUGAUGCUUGAUCAUGUACGAUCUUAGUUGUAUGUUGGUUGAAUCGAGGUCUUUUGAGAUUUCGUCGGACUACCGGGUUUAUAUGGGUUCAAGUCCAUUGGCUUGACGGCCUCCGUGGUCGCUAAUUCACUUGAAUUCUUAUAAAUUGGACGGUUCUGUUACAGCUGGCAUCAGAGCAAGAUUAAGCAUUUAACCAUCAUAGAUGUAUUUAAAAACAAAUGAAUUUGGUUUUCUCAAGCUAAUUUGGCAAAUUAGGCUAUAUAUAGGGCUGUUUUAAAAAUGUUUUGAUAACAUAUACCAUGCCAGUGGUCAUAACCUCUAUGCCCAUAUAAGGACUUUUAGGUGGCGUAAAUAUUACUAACAUGGGGGUUUUUCCUUUCGUCGUCCAUAUGGCGUGCAAUAAUAUGGAUGCUACUUGCUUAAGUGGUAAUGAAUGGAUCACAUACCUCUACGCCAUGGUAAGCAUUGGUUGUUUUCUUUCGUCGUCCAUACAGCGUGAAAUUGUAUGGAUGCCACUGUUGAUAUUUGGUAACGCAAUAAGGAAAUGAUCCACAAGCGCACGGAUAUCGGUGAGCAUUUCACCCGGGAGGUUUUCUAGAGUAUCGUAUUUAUAUUUUUACCACUGGGAGAAAGGGUGCAUCUGACUAACCAAAUCUAUUGCUACUAUCCCUUUAGGCUACAAAGAAUGUCUCUCGAUGUGAGUGAUGUAUAGAGAAGACUGCAACCGUAGUCUCGUUCUAACCUUGGUAAGGAUGAUCUACUGUUCUAUUGGGGAGGCUCACGGAAUCUAGACAACACAAAGGAUGUUCAACCCGCACCUAUAAACCCUACCCGUCCUGCUAACAAGAUAUGGGAUACAAAGGUAACUCGGAAAUGUCACGUUCCUCGCUAUUACCACGAUCCAGCUAGUCAGGGGAUAUCUAUGAGUACCCUAGCCUAAACACCACGUUUACGCCAGCAAUGAUUACUCUAAUACUCAACCGGAAGAGGAUUAAAGUAAACUCAUAAACCAAAGAACAAUAAAACAAGAACUUACUAGCAUUAGAAGUCGAAUUACUGAAGAAUCUUAGAAGCAAGACUCGGGUUAGGAGACUUGAUCCCGUAGGUACAACUCGGAGUAGACACCGACAGGCCGGCCUUCCUCCGAUCUACACCUCCACUCUAUCUCUCUCAAUCUAGUAGAAACUAGAAGAUCUAUUUCUACUUUACAUUGGUUGCUAAGCCUAAAAAGAAAUAUUAUUUAGAGAAGAGGUUUUCCUUCGAGGGCACCCCUCAAUCUCUAUGAUAAUUUCUUGUCUCCUCCAGGGGCUAGGGGGGUCUCCUUAUAUAGUCCUCCUCCUCUAUGCGUUUUUGGGUCGGUAGGCGAGGUGGUACUAUGUUAUUCUGGAUCCAAUAGGUCGGUGGAGAUCUCCCGAGAGAUAGAGUCCUGAUUGGGCUCGGCAGGUGGGCGGGCGCCCAGGUCCUGGCCCUGUUUCGCCUUCGCUUCGGUCUCGUGGCUUCUGGAGUCUUCCAGAUGGUAGAAAAUUGCGCGGUGCGUUGAUAUCUCUAUGUAAUCCUGACAUGUGGGCCUUUCUUCCUUACUUCCUGAUAACCCCUUGCAGAAAUAGACAAACACCAAAACUCGUGGAAUUCUGUCAGAUAAAACCCUAAGUCUAGAUGUUGAUUUCAUUUGGAUCCUUUUCUUUGUUUAUUUGAUAAUUAAAUUUGAUACUUAAGGACCGUCAACAAACUCCCCCAAGCUUACCUCUUGCUCGUCCCUGAGCAAGGAUGAACUCAAGAGUUUCUGCAGUGGUUUUAUUUCUUAAAAGUACACACACAUUCAAGCAAGAUCUCAUCUCUGAGUUAGAAUAAACUGUUAAGACUUAAAACUUACUCAUUUUACCUUUCACCAUGGGGCUUGUAACCUUCACUUGUGUCUUGAGCAGUUAAAAGAUAGAACGGUCAAGUCAAGCACCAUGUAUCUUGUUCUUUGAUCAACUAUAGCUCUGGAGUUUUUGCAGAUUUUUCAAAUAAAACUCAGAGAUUCCUUAUAUGACUCUCUCAGAUCUCUCUUUUGUGGUAUUUCUGGAUCCUUACCAAGGUAGUAAUGGUACAUGCCUUCUCUCAAAGUAUGUGGUAUUUUUGGUAUGAGGCAUAGUGAUAUUGCCUUCUCUCUCACCCUACUCUAAUAAGGUUCUGAUAUCUGGAGCUCAUAGGUGGGAGACAGCUAAUACAUACUUACAAGACAUUUAUUGCAUAGUCAAACCAUGGAUCCAGAGAAACAAGUCAAUAAGUCAAAUCAAGAUGUGCAUGUGUGGCGAAUGAAUGGCGUAUGGUGAUGAUGGUGAUAAUAGUGGUGAAAGACUAAUUCUACUUUUGCUCUUUUGAGGGGAUACAUACCUUUCUUGCACUUUGAAGCUUUUUGAGGAUAAUGAGAUGCUCUAUAUUUUCUUUUUCUUUCCUCUCAGGUGGGUAUCUUGUACCCCUAAUUCUACUGUCGGACACUUGUCCAUUUUUACCUCUCGUCUCACUUUUUUCUUUUUCUUCUAGGUUCCGGGCACUUGCCCCUUUUUAUUUCCUCGUAUUAUUAUUAUUUUUCUUUUUUUUUCUUUUUUUAGAGCACUCAUCUCCUGAAAGAAUGUAGCAAGUGGUAGUAACCAAAAUAACUGGAGCAUUUAUUUCACAGGGAAUAACAGGGAUAGGAAAAUAUUUUUAGCUAUUCUCUCCCGGAUUAGGAGUAGAAUAAUUUGGGGUGAAUGUGGAGAUGGAAAUGAGUGGAUAUAUGUGGAUGGUACUUCCGGAGUAGAAGUAGCAUGUAUGAGUGAACGUGCAAGUGAAUCUUGAUUUUAACCACAUGACAAGCUCCUAAGGGUCUACACAGCUUGACCACACUCAAUGCUCAUAAGCAGUAAAAAGUAAAUGUGUGGCUCAAAGUCUAAUAAGCAUGUAUAUAUGGCUGUGGUAGGAUUUUAAACUCUCAUCAUACAGGAACUCAUCAUGUGUUAUUUUAAAGAUUUUAAAGAUAAAAUUCUCCAGAAUUCUAGCAUCUCUAGGAACAGAUAAACAGCAGCUCAACCUUUCCAUAUCAUAUCUGUUAACAACUUAGACUUUAGAUCAAGUACUCUUCCCACAAGUUCAGGUUUAGAGCAAAUCUUACUUCAUAACAGUCAUGCCUAAACUUGAGAGAGAUUUCAAUUUUAAGAAUUAGUCAUGGCAGAGCAACUAUUUAUUAUUUCCAUGUGAGAGCUUAUCAUGAGGGUUUAUAGCAAACUUUAUUUUUUUAUUUAUUUAUUUUAUUUAUUUAUUUAGCAAACUAAGCAAAGAUAUAUAUAAAAGCACAAAAUCUUUAUUUGGGUUUUUAUGAUUAUGCAUCUCUUUAUUAUUUGAGUAAAGUAUAAACGCGAGUAGAAACACUUAGCUGGAUAAAUGGGGGUGCUCUCCCCCAAGCUGAAUUUUGACGUAAUUUCUUCUGAUGUAGCUAGCAAGUGAUGGAGGUGUUUUUGGAACGUUGGCAGCACCUGACAGCGAUUAGGAUGUCCUCCGUCUGCUAGUCUUCUUUGAUCAUUGAAUUCUGUGGAGCUCAAAUAGACAACAAAGCUUUGUGGAACAGGUUAAGUGUUAGCAUAAAUACCUAGCCUUUAUCAUGUUGAGCCUCCUCAAUAAAUAUGACUUAUUUAGCAGGAUCAUGCACUUAUUAUUUUUAUAUUUUUAUUGUAAGAUGAAAACUUAUUUAUUUUAUUUUUAUGCCACCAUAGUGAAUGUACUUGUGGGUUUUAUGCCAUGAGCAUAGUCACAUGGGGCUUACUAUUUUUUUUAACAUUUUUAUUUUCUUUUCAAGAUAGCAUGAACCUGAUUAACUAAGCAAACUAUUGAAUGGAAAAGGAUAACUACCAAGUUUACCUCUUGGCAAGGCGUUCGGUAUUUUUAAGUCCUCCGAACGGGACUCUCCGUUUUCUUAGUCGUCCUGGGAUUUGCUGGGUGGCGUAGUCGGUGGUUCCGGCGGCGCCUCCUCUUCGUGUAUAACUAUCUUCUCUUUCCACACCUGACUCGGUGCUACGGUCUCCUCAGAACAGUUCUGUUCAAGUUGUAUGUCUUCAGUCCUUAUCACUUCUCCUUCGUAGUCUACCCAUCCGUCCUUGAUGAUUUGCCUCCUCUGGUUGCGGUUGCGUUGUCUUCUUCUUGUCCUGACCUGCUUAGAAUCUUCAACUAUAUAGUUAGAAUCAUUAAAGUAGUGGCGUACCUUCUCAGAGGGGAAGUGCAUGUGGACUUCUCCGGUUCCAAUAUAGAUAAUGGCUUUGAUAGUGCUGAGGAACGGUCUUCCAAGGAUGGUGGAUGGAUCAUACUCGUCUUCUCCCAUGUCAAUGACCUGGAAAUUGUCUGAAGCUGAAUGUAUCUUGGUUGUAGGGGCAUGGUUCCAUGCAGGAGUUGAUAAGUGACUGCGGCCAUUAUGUUGUCGUCAGAUCCGGUGUCGUAGAGUGUCUUCUGAAAAGAGUAUCCGUUGAUUGUGCACUCGAUGCUUGGAACACCAGGGUCAUUCUUCUUGAUCAAGAAAGGUGAUUUGAGUCGACGAUCUUGACCUCCUUGAGCUGCAGUGACCAUCUUAGCUGACUCGGUCCACAUUUGCUUGUUCCUGUUCCUCAUGUUGGUCCUCUUCCUUGGUUCAUGUCGGGAUUGCUCUGAAGCUUGUGUAGUCUUGUUCUUGAAGGAAAGUCUCCUUCUUCCCCUUGAUGUAGAGACUGAUCUUGGCAGCAUUAGCGUAGAUGACUGCUCUGGUGUUUAGGAAUGGCCUCCCUAAGAUGAUGGGUGCCCUCUCCUCACUACCAGUCUCUAUCACCACGAAGUUUGCCGGAGCGUACAAGGUACCAACUCGGACACAGAGGUUCUUCAAUAUUUCCUUUGGGAAACUAAGUGUCUGAUCUCCAUUGUGUUUGUGCUCGUAGAUCCCGGUUCUUCACUUGGUGGAAUCUGGGAGUUGUAAAACUCCUCCAUGUUUUGUUUGAAGUGUACCUAUUCAUAGAGACAAGACAGAGAUCAAGUGCAUGGGCCCUAUUGGUGGAAAACACCAACAAAACCAAAAGUGUAUUUGUUCUUCUCUAACCUUAAGCAUAGUAAGCAAGACAAAGUUGAUGGAUCAUGAGUGUAGUAUUUAAAACAUUUGCCAGAUCAGAUUGCUUGACCUAAUGGAAAGAUAAUCUAUCUAUAUUUAUGUUUUGUUUAUAUCUUCCAAAGAUUGAAUAUGCAAUACUUUAGCUUAUAUGAUUAGGAGUGUGGGAUCACGAAGGUAGUACUAAGAACAAAGAUUAAAGGACUAAACAUGCUGAAUUAAUUGAGUUGGUUAAUUUGGAGUUAUAAAUCAUACAUGUUUGUCUCUUUUAUUCAUGUUUAUGCCAGAACCAAGGAGAACUUAUAAAAGUGAUAAUCAAGUACUUUAAGAUGUUAUUGAAGAGUGAUGGUAUAGUAUCACCUUGUGGAAGCUUUCCUUUCUUAGCGGUUGUGCAUCGUGUUUGUGGCACCCUCCAUGAAUCAUCUCUUAUGAGCUACGUCUUUCUUGUGUAAAUUGUUAAACUUCAUGUGUCACUUUCUUCAUCUCCAAUGUGAGUUUAUCUCAGGACUUUCCAGGUUGAUAUUGAAAGUUCUCCUGCAGGGGUUAGUCCCACAAAAUAUACCAAUAUCUACUCAAGCAGUUUUUAGUUCAGUAACCAAACUAGACUCCAUGUCUAAUCAGAUUAAGGAAGGCUAUUUAACCUAAUUACCACGCUUAAUUUAAAUGCCAUUGGAAGUGUGUCCAGUACUUCCAAACUAACACUUACUAGGGUAAACAAAGGUAGCAUGAUGGAUUUUAUAGAGAUCUACUCAAGUGUAGAUGAAGUAGUGUGAUUAGUAUUUAACAAAUUGAGCAUGUCUCAAAGGUAAGGACAACCAACAUAGCAGCAUGGCAAAGGAUGUUUUAUGUAAAGUACUCCCCCAAGCUUGAAUUUUACAAAAUUCAAGAUUGGAUGAAUUUAAUUUAAUGUUGCAUGAUGAUUAGUUGGGCAUACCUUGCGCUUGUCAUUCAUCCGAUCUUCUUGCUCCAAUCUUGGAAAGGUUAGUGGCAAGAAUACCCGAAGGAAUAUUUCUAUAAUUAUCUUUAUAUGCUCCAUACACAAGACGAUGUUGCAAAUAAUUAGAAGUUCAUGUCACAAUCUGAU
RNAcentral lists this long non-coding RNA (66547 nucleotides) under Sorghum bicolor (sorghum). RNAcentral describes it as "long non-coding RNA (SBIC_LNC002473)". Lineage: Eukaryota; Viridiplantae; Streptophyta; Magnoliopsida; Poales; Poaceae. The record is from RNAcentral.